CUUCAUCUUCAUCUUCUUAUUCUUUUGUAUAUAUAUAGAGUAUAUGAAGCUAGGGAGUAUGUUCUGAAUUUGAACUAAAGAACCAUGUCCUUAAAUAAAGAGCUAGAGUUACUAAACUCUUACUCCGAAUUCUUUUAUAAAUUGAAGUCUCAAACUCCCUGGACUUUCCUAUUCUGGGAAGGAAAAGGGUGUCCUAUCACCUAUGUCGAAAGUGUGUAGGAUUGCUAUCUGCAUAGUGGCCGUGAUAAGCACAGAGGCGGCGGACAAGGAGGUGGUGGUAAUAAAUCAAAAUCAAAAUCAAAAUCAAAAUCAAAGGGAUUAUUAUUAGUGGAUAAAAGAAGACCUAAAUCACUAUCUAUUAAGAACCAGGGUAAUAAACCUAAAUCUGUUUCUCUUAAAAACCAAAUUCGAUCAACUGAAAGAAUGCUACUUCGUAAGGUAAUAUUUUACUUGUUUUAAUUCAUAAAAUUUAAAUUAUUUGUGCGCCUCUCAAAUGUUUUUUUUUUUUUUUUUUUUCCAUCAAGAGUCUUCCCUCUGAAGUUAAAGAUGCUUUAGAAAAGAAACUACAAGAUCUCAAGAAGCAACAAGAUCUUCAAACUCGUUUGGCUGUAGAGCGCAAAUUAUUUUUACGGGAUAGAAAGAUCAAGUUUUUUGGUACCUUUUAUUAUUAUCUGCAUACAUACAUCACAUACAUACACAUUGUUGAUUGGCCUUUCUGUGUUAUUUGACUUAUGGAAUUUAUUAUAUGUUCUUUAUUCAGAGAGAAGAAAAAUCGAGAGGAGAAUAAGGCGUUUGGAGAAAUUGCAGCGCACUUCUAAUAACAACCAGGAUGUAGAUGUUUCUGAUCAACUUUCAAAACUAAAAGAAGACCUUGAAUAUGUUCGGGUAAGAAUUUUUUUACAGUAUUAGUGACUCAUGGCUGUUAUUUGUAAUUGAAAUAUUUAUAAUGACUGAAACCUUGGUACACAUGUUUGUGAUAGCAAUAUAGGGAUACCAGGCCUUAUAACACGACCAAAUAGCAAACUCAUCAAACAUUUCCAAUGGAUAUACUCUUAACUUAGAAUUUUAGUCCAUUGGUGUUUUAUUGUGUUAAUUAGUUUUACAGUUAUCAUUGGUGUUUUAACAACAAAAAGUAAAAAAAAAAGUGUUUUGUACUUUAUGAGGAGUGAGAACCAUUAGAAAGGGUUAUUAGAUUCUGUCAUCUAGGUUUCCAUUCUGAUUAAGAAAACUUUUUGCACGGACCAUUUAGGUUAUUACUAAAAUCCUGCUUAUUGCAAUCACAUGGAUAAAUUUGAUGAUGUUGUCGUUUUGAUAUGCAGUUCUUCCCCAAGACUGAAAAAUAUGUAUCUUUAUUCAUUGGAGGUGACGAUGCAGACACUGUUGAUAGAAGAAAGAGCUUGCGUGAGAAGAUUAAGAACAAUAUCAUGGCUGCAGCUGCUAGUGGAAAGGAUUUAGAAGGUAACUUUUUUUUAAGAAAAAAUCGGUUGGAAUUUUCAUAGUAGAGUUGUAUACAUUUCUUCUGAAAUAUCUCUGUUAGGUUCAUACAUUAUGCACACCUAAUCUGUUUUGGUGGUAUUAUGACUAUUAUCUCCUGUUCUUGCUAGCAUUUUAUCGACAACAAGCUUUUUAAUUGAUAAAAAAACUCUCUUUCUCUCUAUACUAAAUAUAUAUUUAAAAGUAGUUCAACUACUGGGAAUACCGAUAUACGUACUUUUAUUUUGCUAACUUAAUGACUUAUUAUGUUGUUGAAUGAUAUUGUUUUACAGAAACAGGGAGUGAGGAUGAUGGUCUCUUGGACAUGAGCGACGACGAUUUCUUUUUGGCCGGAAGCUCAAGUGAUGAGGCAGAUGCAGAUGAUGAAUGGACAGACAAAAGCGCAAGGUACAAUAGUACUUUGAAUCUCUUAAUAUGGGAAUUUCAAGAGACUUAGUUAAUGUGAUAAUGAAAUAUGUAGAAUCUUAUUAAGACAUGUAUCGUUGUAUUUUCUAUUAGCCAACCUAAAUUCCUGAGUUUGUCUGUUCUUGUUAAAAUUCAUCUUAGAAAUGAUGUCAAUCUGAUGGUAUAAAGUGGAAUACAGAUGAAACAUGCAGAAAAAAUAAAUAAACUUUGGAAAGUAUACAAAGAAGAAAGAGGUUUAUCAGCCUCAAGGCUAACCUCAAAGUUGUAGGGCAUUUAGCAAGUGCAUGAGUCUUACUCCUUGAGGUUGAGCUUCAUUCCCUUUUGUAUCUAAGAUCACUUCAUUAAAUACUUCAAAUUAGCUGCAGUCUACCAUAGGUAAUCUGAAGCUCCAUGUUAUUGUCAUUAAUGUCAGUAAUAAUUUGAUAGUCUCUAUGUGACCAUGAAAGUAUGGCAUUUUCUGAACUAUGAAGUAUGGUGUCAACUAGUUAAUGUUAAGUCUAUAUUUUGUUUGACACUCAAACCAUAUCCUAGAUGACGUAGUAGAAUUCAUUGACAUGUUUGCUCAUCACGCAGUCACAACCUAAAAGAGUUGACAUGACGUAGGUGUCACUUUAAAAGUUAAAGAUGUGUGAACUGAGGUUGAGACUUGAGAGUAUAAAACACUAAACCAAAUAUGUAGCAGAAGGAUAAGAAAGGGGAUCAACUUACUUGGCUAUAUCGACACACCACCUUUUUGUUAGCUAGGUGUAGUGCUUACCUGGGACAUGGGUAAUAGACUCGAUUCCAGCUCUUUAUCAAAGACUGGAAAGGCCGAUUCCUUUUGUUUGGAAUUUUUUUCUUUUUGGAGGAACAGAAUGUGUUCCAGUUGAUUACAAAAAUUAAACUUAAAAUUUUCUAUUGUUCGCUAUGGGAUUAGAUAGAUGGACUAGACGAGAAAAUCAGAAACAUGUAUGUUACAUUUUUGACUCUAUGACCAUGCUGGUGAGUUCUGGGUCAGUAGGCGUAAUUUACACGCAUUUGCAUUUUCAGUGAGCCCAGUGUUUGGAUGGAUGCUUGGAUCUCCCAAACAGUCUCAACCUAUAAGGGAAUUAAUCACUUUUAUAGCUCAUGGAAUAGAAGCCAGCACUUGGUUGUUUCCAGUAAUGUAACAACACUUGUUUUGCCAAGACCUUCGUUUUACCGAAAACCAGAAAAUUAUACUUUUUGUCAAAGAUAUGUUUAUCUAAUAUUAAACCAAUAGGAGGCACUAGAACUCAUAGAAAAGUAGUUCUACUAACUGUAUUAAGAUUUUGUUUUCUUAAAACUGGAGCAUUUUCCUGGAUUGGAAGAAGCAUGUGGGGUUGCUUAAAAGUAAUUGUGAUACCAAUAGAGGUGUGGGAGUUGUUACAUGAUGAGAUCUUGAGUAGUCUUUGGGCCUUCUAUUCUUGUAUGUUAUUCCUGUUUUGGUAGGCUAUCUCAACGUACAUAUACUAUUUACAAUACAACCCAUCUAUGCUAUUAGAAGCUGUGAGUUUUCACCCUACACUUGUAGCUUGUGACAUCUUUAUUGCCACAAAUUUUGUAUUUUAUGAAAUUUGCAAUGAUUUCGUUUGUAUUCUUCUACAGAGAACAAGCUUCAAGUGCUUCCGGGAAAGCAACAUCUGGCAUGUCUAGCGACGAAAAGAAUCAGGUCUUUAUCUGAUUUAGUACUCUGUUGUAACAUAUGAAGACAAACUCAUUAAUUUCAUCUAAUAAUUGACAUCUAUUUAUAGAGACAGGUGUCUACUCGAGCCCUUAUGCCGCCUCCUCGGCCUUCAAAGAAAUCAUUCAGAGGUCCAAGUCGUAACCAGCCAGAAAAUGACUGCUCAUCAAGCAAGAAGCCUUCCAUAGAGAGGGUUCAGAUGUCUACAUAUGGCAAUAAGCCACAUGGAAUAGGCGGUUCUUCCUACCGAAACCAAGGAUCGUCAAAUUCAACUACUGGCCCUAGUAGUAAUCUCAGCUCAAACUCUGAUGCUCACAAACCUCGGAGAAAAAGGAGACCAAAGAAGAAGAAGCAACAGGUUCAAUAUUUCACUGAUCUUAUCCCUAAAAUUAGUUCCAACGCUCAAAAAUUUUUUCACCGACUAUUAGACACUUUUUUAUGUUGGAACAACCACGGAACCACCGAAAAAUGAUUAACAUACCCUUGCUUUUAAACGGAACCAGCCACCCAAAAAUGAUUAACAUACCCUUGCUUUUAAACGGAACCACGGUUUUGCAACGAUUUAUUUAAAGAUUUUCUUAAGUAAGCCCCACAAUCUCAAGAGUAAAUAAAAUAUAAGACUCCUGAAAAAAAUUAUUCAUCUGGAGAAGUUGGUGAUUGAUGAAGUUCUGUUAUAAAGUCUGUGAUUUCUCAUCUUGUGUGUAUAGUGAGAUUUAUUACUACACGCACACACACACACACACACUCACACACUCACUUUGUGAUGAAUCUUACUAUAAGCCUCGUUAUAACCCUUUGUUUUAUAUGCUUUUUACCAUUUUAUUUUCAGGCAUAAUAUUCUUCAUUGGGAGUUCAACUUUUCAUAGAUCAAGUGCUGCACUGGACCUCCAUAGAAGAAAUGUUUUGAGAUUUGAAUUGGGGUUCCAACAAUCAGCUGUUAAUUUAUCUGCGCCUAGGUUGUUAACCUCGAUGUGCUUUUCUUCCGCAGAUAGAUGUAUAUGGAUUUUUAUUUACAGUGAUCCGUGUAAUCAAAACUGUGACGGUUGUUACUCUUGUUCCAUAUUGCAAAAAGUACUUUUGAGAUUUGAUUAGUGGUGGAAUGGUAGUGAGAAUGUAUUUUUUGAUAGAAGAUUUGGUGAUAUAUCUGUAGCUGCGAGCUUGCAAAGGAAGAUCCAACUUCUGAAUAUCUGAUUCUGGAAUUUCCUUCCUAACCUUUAUUUGUAUGUGUGGAAUGUAAGUUAGCUACAGUAUUUUCUUCUGCUUCAUUAUUUUCCUCUUCUUGUCGACCGAAGUUAGGAGGUCCAUUUGGAGUUGGGUGGAACUCAAACUCGUGUCUGUUCUUUUUUAAUUUUCUGUAUGUCCGUCUUUUUUUUUUCUGUUUUUUAAAAUCUUUCUUUUCUCUUUUUUCUUCCUCUCUCUUUCCCUAACGUUGGUCUCCACUGUAUCACGGUUCUAUAUUUUAAAUAUUUUCUUAUGUGUAUUGGAUCAUAGUGCAAGUUAUUUAGAAUUUGAAUCGAUCAGUAGUUCUUUGUUGUAGAGAUUAACCUUUGUAUAUCCAAGCAACUGAUCAGUGAUCACCCACAAAUCAAUCUCAUCAUAUUGAAAAACUAAAGAUAUAACAAAAAGUGUUUUUGAUUGAUUUAAAACAUAGUGAAAUGUAAUAAUAAAUAUAGAAUACAGUGUUCUCUAGACAGUGGACAUAGCACACUCUUUUCCUUUAGCCAUCAAUGCUAUUAUUAUUUCCUUUCCUGCUCAAUUCAUGCGUUUUCCACUCCACUUCACUGCAUGCCAACCCAAUAGAUCUAAAGUUCCCAAUGCAAGUUAUUGCUUGAAAGACAUUAUCUUCUUUAAUAGAAUUACUCUUGAGUUGUCGUGAAGCUCUGUCUUUAAGCACAUACCAACGUAGAUUUGUGGAGUUGUGUCUAUAUAUGAGUUCCCCUUUCUUUGUAACUGUGAGAGGAUGGUCGAAGUUUGGUAUAGUAUAUGCCUUGGUCCAAGACUCCUUCGCACCAUAGUCCAUCAUCAUCCAUAUUUCACUAUUGGUUUCAUAAUUACAAAAUAGGGAAAGGAACCCAUCUAUCAAUGUGAGAGCUAUACAACACAGUUCAUAUUGCCCAUAGUCAGGCAAUGGCAUAGUCCGGAACUCUCUGCUAUUGAUGUCAAAAGCAAUGAUAUAUUCUGCGUUCAAGCCAUGGACAAACUGUGAUGUACACCUGGUAUCAAUCCAAUGUAAAGUACCAUUUAAGAGUUCCCCACCUGAGCAGCUCUCAAUGCUGUAUGGGAUGUUUUGAAUUCUUCUCCAUGAAUUCUCCUUUAGUGAGUAAAUUUCAACUUCAGAGUGUCGGAUGUGAUCACCGAAGGAAACAAUCCGUACAACCUCAUAAUCCUUUGAAGUUGGGUUGUAACAGAAGCCUAAUUGAGGAUGAUCUUUUUUAGUAAGGGGUUCCGGUAGUUCUUUGUAAUCUGUAGUGAACGGGUUCCACAUGAAUAUUUUUUUAAGAGUACAAUCAUAUAUGCAUAUUACUCCAUUACAAGAAUUCUUCUGCAUAUUUUUUUAACAUGUUAGUUGUAAGCAUUUCUGGUAUAUCCAUCAUUAUGAGAUGUUCAUAAUUUUCAUAAUCUACCAAAUAAACUUUAGAACUUCCAACCAAUAACAUGAUAUUUCCAAAGUUACGACUACUAACGAAUUUAUACCAUGCUUUCGAUACACUCUUUAAUAGUAAAAUUGACUUGACAGGUAGUUUUGAGAGUAUAUCUUCAAUGAUCUCAGCUGGGAGGAUACUCAACCAGUUAGAAGAAACGCGCUUUGGGCGAAAAUAUGAGAACAAGAAAGAAGCUAGAUGCUUAUGAAAAGAGUACAUUGUGAGAAAGUCUUAGCAAAAUACAUAGCAAAUAGGAUCAAAACUAUCCGCUGUAUAUAUAUAUAUAACAAAAACAAUGUCAAAUCCUUAUAUAACAACAAUUGUGGUAAGAUUAGGAUUGGUCAUUUGGGUAUCUAUUUCAAAUUGAGAAUCCAAUAUAGGGACAAAUUAAGUUUAUUGGGUUACUUUCCUGUAAAAUGUAAAAUGCAGAACAAAUGAUAAGACGUCAAUAUAUAUAGGGUAUUUGAACAAUGAUACUGUACUAGCAUCUGAAAGAAAUAAGAUUCAUUACAAAUUGUCAGCAAUCACAGAACUUCAUAAUCAAUACAAUGCAACUAGGCUCUCAAUGUAGGAUGUCGCGUGGUAAGACCUAUGAUAGACUACCAGUUUUGGUUGUCAAUAUAGGAUUCAUUACAAAUUGUCAGCAAUCACAGAACUUCAAAAUCAAUACAAUGCAACGAGGCUCUCAAUGUAGGAUGUCGCGUGGUAAGACCUAUGAUAGACUGCCAGUUUUGGUUGUCAAUUUUGGUGUUUAAUGUCAUAUAAAUGUACAAACCAAUUAUCGUUUAGCACUAAAGUUGUACCAUUAAUUAGAAAGCAGCAAUGUUCCAAGAACAGAUAUACGGCCUAAAUCUUCAUAGAAUAAAAAAAAAGAAGAUAUACUGCCUAACCAGUUUUUCAUUAUUAUGAGAAGUCUGUAUAUAUAAAUAAAAGAGGACUACUCCAGUAUCAACACCGUAUAUUCUUCUUACAUCUGCAAACCUUAUUCUUACUCACAACCCUUGAUCAUCAUGUCUUUCACCAAUCAUUUUCUUCUGUUGCUUAAUGCUACUGCUUCUUGGUCAGGCUAAUUCCAUGUUAAAUGCAGAGUUCUACAAUACUUCACUCCCAGAAGCUGAAACCAUCAUAACGUCAGAGAGGACUAUGGUAUGCCCUCCUGAGAGGCCUACCAUAUCUUUAAGGUUCAUACCUGCUUGCUCAAAUUUUGCGAACAGAUCUGCAAGCUCAGAAUUUGGAUUUGGAAGUCCCUGAAAGACAGCUGUGUUAUUUGCCACAAAGCUCUCUCUCUCUCCUGCCGAACUCAAUGCUCCAUUUAGGUCCUCCUGACUGCAUAUACAGACCAAAACACAAGUGUUAACUGCAUGCAGUAUAUCAUCUAAUUUCAAUGUUUAGAUAUGAUGAUGAACUGGCCAUAUAAGACAGAUGUAUAUCCAUUCUGAACUUAGAUACACAUUAUUAGUAAUUGGCAUGUCAUUAACAAAGUGACAUAUACAUCAAAGUUACAGAACACUUGUGAGCUAGUAAUUAGUAAUAGAGGUAAUCAUCAGUACUCAACAUUAGCUAGAUGAACAACAAUGAAAAACAAACCAAAUACAAACACUACCAACACUCUGCUUCUAUAAUCAGUUCCUUUUAUAUCCUAAUUUUUUAUUUUGAAGUUUCAAAAUUAUUAUAUUGCAUUUGUAGUUUCUGGUCUAUGGGAAUUCCGGUAGACUGCUCGUGGACAUGGAGGUCUAUAAUUAGAGCUUGUAGACUAGGAUGAAAGUUCAUAACUUGUAGCAUUGCUAAUGGAGAAAGGACUUUGCUCUGGCAUGAACGUUGGGUUACUAACAAUUUACUAACAUUGGCGUAAGCACAAUGGAACUUCCCAGAAGACUCAAAAUAAAGUUAGCUGCCUAGUAUCUGACUAUACUAGGAAGUAUAGUGAGAUCAGUGCUUUUGUACAAGAGUUAAAGGCAGUUGAAGUGGUCUACAGGAAUGCCAGAGAACUAAUUUGCGAAAUGUUGUAGUGGCCACGGACCCUAAGGGCAAUCACUAUUAUCAAGAGAAAAUGAGAAUUCCCAUUGUACUGCGCAAACUUAAUAGCGCCAAUUAAAGGAACUGUAAGAUUGAUGUGUAGUGUGAAUGUAAUCCAUGUGUUUAGAGAAGUAUAUAGGGUUGCUGAUUAUCUGGCAGGACUGUCCAGUCCAAAUAACAAUAGCUUGCCUGUUUUUAUUCCUCGGCUCUUUUGUGUUUUCAAUUAGAUAUGAUAAUAAAGGACAUCCGAGCAUGAAACUGUGUGAGGGGAAGCCUUUUCUAGUUCAACCUUGAUGGUGUCUAUGACAUCAAAUCCUCGGAGAGACUGAAAGUUAGGCAGUGCUGACUUUUCCCGGACAUGGUAUUCUGUAUCGUCCAAAAGAACGAAUGCGUCACAGCCCUACGAAAACCAAGUUAUUAGAAGAAAUAUAAUCCCAUUGUUAUUUCACACAAACUCGAUCUGUACAAUGAAAGUGUAACUAGCUUAAAGAGGAAUGAUAAACAAUUUUCUAUCAGCAAUUCAUUUUAUAUGUUGUACAUGACAAAUUGGGAAAAAAAAAUAGUCAACAAUAUGGCACCGGCUUAAUGAUCUAGUUGCCGAAUAAGUUCAAAUACACAUAAUAUAAACAUUGAAUGCAGAAAUCACACCAAAAUGAAACCAAUUAACUGCUCAGAGGUGGUAUAUUGCGAUUUCCUAAGGUAGUUUCGCAGUUGCAGGUAAAGGAUCAGCCACAGAAGAACCUCUGAGCAAGUAGAAUGAAGUCAUGGACACACCUUUACAAAACUCUUGGGAUGAAAUAUUUCAAAUCACGACUUAAAAACUUAAGAUAAUAUUUAUGCAAACCUGAACAAAGCAGUCAGGGAAACUCAACUGUAAAAGCGAUGCUGCCAGGGUUGGAUCUUGGUUAAAAGGACAUACAGAUGGUUUCAGCUUCUGGGCAUGAAGUAUUGUAGAAUUCUGCACUUAAAGUGGAAUUAGGCUGACGAAGAAGCAGUAGCAUUAAGCAACAGAAGAAAAAGAUUGGUCAAGACAUGAUGAUCAAGGGUGCAUGGUGAUUAAGAAUAAGGUUUGCAAAAGAAAGAAGAGUAUAGGGUGUUGGUACUGUAGUUGUCAUCUUUAAUAUGUACAGACUUCUCAUAAUAAUCCAAUGUUGUUCAUAUAUUGCGAUAAAAUGCAAAACUACCUGCCAUGUUCUCUACUUUCUUCUUAUACAAAGCUUACCCAAAAACAAUUCUCUUUUCUCUUUUCCUUGCUUUUUUCCUUUUACUUAAAAAUGUGCUUGCCCCAACCUUCUCUGAUAGCUUUAUUUAUUACAAGCAUGCAAAAUUAGAAUGUUUAUGGUUGGUUAUAGUAAAUAUGUUGACAAAUAGUACCUGUGGUUUGUGCUCAAUUCCCCUAAUGGUUUAUAUUCUUCACAUUUUCAAACUUUUUCUGUCUUUGGUUUUUCCUUGUUGUUUGCUUUUAUGGUUGUUGCCAAAAAAGAGUUUGGGUGUCAAGAUAUAGUUUGUAUAGAAAAGCAUGCUUCAAAGUUCAAACAACCAGUGAACACAUAAAAAAAUACAUGAUAAACUUUGGAACUUCCAACCAAUAACAUGAUAUGUUUCCGAAGUUACGACUGCUAACGAAUUCAUACCAUGCUUUAGAUAAACACUUUAAUCAUAAAAUUGACUUGACAGAUAGUCUUGAGAGUAUAUCUUCAAUGAUCUCAACUGGGGGAGGAUAUUCAACAAGUUAGAAGAAACAAGGGUGCAAUGUCUCAACCAACAAGCUUUUAAGUGAGAUCCGGUUGUCGCUUCAUGCCUCCGUGGAACAACAGUAUCGAACUGCAGAGCGCGCAAAAUCUACCCUUUAAUUCAAGAAUACUCCCUGGUGAAAAAAUUGAAUUCUGCACAAAGAUAAAGUUGAAAUAUUUUCCCAAUAAUAUAUUAACAGAAUAACCAGUAUAUACAUAAAUAAAUUUAAAUCAUCCUAAUUAAUGAGAAUAAAUAAUUAAUAUUGAAAAGUACUUGUUAAAUUAUCUCAUUGCUAUAUAAGCCCUUGGUGAAUUGUGUAGUCUUGUUGUUUGAUAAACUGCCUAAGACUAGGAAAUGGAAUUGAAGGUCAUGUUCAGCAAGUGUUUUUAUUUGUCUGUACUUCUCAUAUGCCUUCUUGUUUGCGCACCAACUUCUGGUAAUUUUUCUGCUUUUUGUUGUAAAUAUUACAUAAACAUGUGGUAUUUUAUAACACAUUAACCCAUUAAAAUGUUGAUCGAUGUUAGUUAUGAUUUUGCACUACUUUUAUAAAAGAAAAUAUUUUGGUGUUGAGACAUUUUGAUCAUUUUAGAAUUGACUAGAUUAGCCUUUUUUUUUUUUCACUUAUAUCAUUGAAAAUUAAUCUUAAUAAGGUGAAAUUUUGUAUCGUCCAUCAUCGAUUAUAACCAUUCGAAAUGAUCUUAUUAAUUUCAUACAGCUGAUGCAAGGUUGAAGCCUGAAAAGGACUUUUGCUGGAAUAUGUGCUAUCAUCCUGAUAGUUGUAAUGGAGCUUGUAAGGCUUCUGGGUUCAAAGAGGGAAUCUGUGAUGUUAAAGCUGACACUUGUUGUUGUCAUGUAAAUUAGUUGCAAGUUCGUUUUCCAUAUUAGUUAGAAUAAAUCUAUCUGAAAAAAAAAAAAAAGAUUAUGAUAUUAGAAUACUUUUUGGUUUCCAUAUUAUCUUGUGACUCAUUUUCAAUAUUACAGUAGUUAAGUUCACCUAAAUCAAGCUACUGUCAUGAAUCAUGGUAGAUACACACACAUGUAGAAAAGAAAUUGAAAAGAUACAAAGCAUAAGGAUCAUAAACUGAAAAAAUAUAUUAGGUACUACCAAGCACAUCAUUAGAUAAAAAUCUAUUAUAGAAAAGAAAUUUAGGAAAUAUGUAUUAACAGAUAUCAUCCAAUCUUGAACAGAACAACCUUCAACAUCUUUGUAACAUAAUACUACUCAAUCGAAGUUCAAGUCUUGAAACCUAUUACAUACUGUUACUAUCCUCAACUAAUUCACCAUACGACAGUUGAUGCGUACUUCACCUUCAGAACCUAGAAGAGGAGCAAUUCUUCCCAUUUUUAGCAUUGAUGUGGCGAAAUCAUCAAAGAAUGCAGUUGAAUUCGUUGCAUAAAUCUGAACAAGGUCAAGUGCAGGAGUAAACUUCACAAGGGCAUUGUCUGACUGAAAAAACCCCCCAUUCAUAUUCUUUCGGAGGAGAGCAAGAUAAUAGUUAUUGUCAAAAACCUUGGGUGUUUGAUCCAGAGAAGCAUGUGUUUCAUUCCUGGAGCAACUGUUUGGUCGUUGCCCUUUCAGAAAAAAACACCUUGCAGAGCCUAUGGUAUGCCCCCCUGAGAGAGCUACUAUAUCUCUAAGGUUCAUACCUAUUUGCUCAAAUUUUGCCAACAGAUCUGCAAGCUCAGAAUUUGGACUUGGAAGUCCCUGAAGGACAGUAACAUUAUUUGCCACAGUAAUGCUAUCUCUCCUGCCGAACUCAACGCUCCAUCUAGGUCCUCCUGACUACAUAUACAGACCAAAACACAAUUGUUAACUACAUGCCGUAUAUCGUCUAAUUUCAAUGUUUAGAUAUGGUGAUGAACUGUCCAUAUAUAUCCAUUCUGAACUUAGAUACAAAUUAUUAGUAAUUGGCAUGUUAUUAACAAAGUGAAAUAUACAUCAACGUUACAGAACAAUUGUGAGCCAGUAAUUAGUAAUAGAGGUAUUCAUCAGUAGUUCAGUACUCAACAUUGGCUAGAUAAACAAUAAUUACAAACAAACCAAAUACAAAGACUACCCAGUCCAAAAAACAAUAGCUUGUCUGUAUUUAUUCCUCGGCUCCUUUGUGUUUUAAUUAGAUAUGAUGUGGAGGCAGGGUGCACAUGAGAAUUUAAAUCAAUGCAGGUUGGGGAAAAGACGACAUACUACCAGACCAGUAAUCAGCUAUUCCUUGACAAAAUAAUUUUAAACACUAGGAAAAUAACAAUUUAACAAGGAAGUAUCAGAAAAGGCAAUACCAGAACCACAGAGUCCCUUGCUACUGCUGCAAUGACAUCCGAGCAUGAAACUGUGUGAGGGCAAGCCUUUUCUAGUUCAGCCUUGAUGGUGUCUAUGACCUCAAAUCCUCGGAGGGAUUGAUCGUUAGGCAGUGCUGUCUUUUCCCCGGCAUGGUGUUCUGUAUAAUCCAAAAGAACAGAUGCAUCACAGCCCUGCGAAAACCAAGUUAUUAGAACAAAUAUAAUCCCAUUGUUAUUUCACAUAAACUCGAUCUGCACAAUGAAAGUAUAACUAGUUUAAGGAGGAAUGAUAAACAAUUUUCUAUUAUGAUUAGUCAGAGCAAUUCAUUUUAUAUGUUGCACAUGACAAAUAGGAAUAAAGAAGUAUUGCAACCAACAAUGGCCUCGUAAACGACCAGCUUAAUGAUCUAUUUACCGAAUAAAUUAAAUACACAUACUAUAAACAUUGAAUGCAGAAAUCACACCAAAAUGAAACCAAUUAACUUCUGAUCAGAGGUGCUAUAUUGUGAUUCCCUAAGGGAGUUUCACAGUUGCAGGUAACAGAUCAGUCACGCAAGAACCUCUGAGCAAGCAGAAUGAAGUCAUGGACAUACCUUUACAAAACACUUGAGAUGAAAUAUUUCAAAUCAUAACUUAAAAACUUAGGAUAAUAUUUAUGCUAACCUGAACAAAACAAUCAUGGAAAUGCAACCGUAAAAGCGAUGCUGCCAGGGUUGGAUCUCGCUUAAAAGCUUGAGACAUUGCAGACGUUAUGAUUGAUUCAGCUUCUCGGCAUGAAGUAUGGUAGAAGUCUACACUUAACAUGGAGUUGGCCUGACCAAGAACCAGUACCAUUAAGCAACAGAAGAAAUACAUUGGUGAAGACAUGAUGAUCAAGGGUGGUGAGUAAGAAUAAGGUUUGCAGAAGUAAGAAGAAUAUAGGGUGUUGCCGUGUUGGUACUGGAGUAGUCAUAAUAUUGCGAUUAAAUGCAAAACCGCCUCCCCGCUGUCACCCUUUCUUCUUAUACAAAGCUUACCCAAAACAACGCUUUUCUCUGUUCCUUGCUGUUUCCUUUUACUUAAAAAUGUGCUUGCCAGUUGCCCCAACCUUCUCUGAUAGGUUUUAUUUAUUAUAGGCCGAUAGGCGUACAAAAUUAGGAUGUUUAUCGGUGGUUAAAGUAAAUAUGUUGACAAUUAGUACCUGCAGUAUGUGCUCAUUUCCCCCUAAUGGUUUAUAUUCUUCAUAUUUUCAAAUUUUCUCUGUAUUUGGUUUUUCCUUGUUGUUUGCUUUUAUGGUUGUUGCUAAAAAAAGAGUUUGAGUGUCAGGAUAGACUGGAUAGUUGGUAUAGAAAACCAUGCUUCAAACAACCAGUGAACACAUAAAAGCUUUUCAAAUCAAGUUGCUUGACCUAUAAAAAUUAUGGAAUUUGUUUUGUUUAAGUUAAUAGACACAAUUGAGAAGAUGUUGUUGUUGUUUUUCGGGCUGAAGAGGCCGAAAGCACUAAUCACCACAAAUCUUCUUCAUCCACAUUAAUGGAGAUUCCAUCAUCCACAUUCCUCCUCUUUCCUUUUCGGCACUUUUUCUCCUCUCCUCCUCUAUCAGUAAGCAAUCAGACUCAGUACACAAUGAAUGAAUUGAAUUAAUGAGAAUAAUGGAAUGGCCAUAUUGUUUAGUGUUGGGCAUGGAUGGAUUUAUAAAUAAAUGUAGAAAAAUAAAUAGCUCACUCCAAUGCCCAAUAUCACCUUACCUAAGCAGCUAGAAUAUUGUUGCGGCAAACAAACAAGGUUUCAGAACUUUCAGUCCCAAAAGCCUGUAAAACAUUCCACUUUGUUGGGUACACCGUACAUAAAGUUUAAGAUCGAACAUACUUUGAUGAGAACAUAUUGCUUAAAAUAAAAACACAUGAGUGAUUUGAACAUGCAACAGCUUUAGCGAAAACUAUGUCUUCAUAUAUAAAGGAAAAUUGCCGGAUUCCAUAUGCAGAUAGUGUUUUCGUCAUUGAUUACACAUAGCAGGCCAUUACAAGAGCCCCAAACUUUGGGUUUAUGCAACAAUGGAUAUUUGAUCUGUAUCUCAUCAUCAUCAAAUCUUUCACAAUCUAAUAUAAUUACAUUUUUAGAUGGAAGCAUGAGCCUAAGAUUGUUUUUGUUGUUUUUCUGAUUAUUGACAUGCUUAUGAACAAAAAAAGUACUAUUAAUUAGCAUAAACCAUGAUUUAGAUACACACCUGAACCUUAAUAGUGACUUUACAGGUAAUCUUGAUAGUAUUUCCUCCAUUAAAUCACUUGGGAUAAUUAGGUUUUGCAUCAUAUGAUUCUCCAUUAUUGUUUCAAAGGGAUUUUGUUCACUGUUUCAACUUAUGAACCCUAACCCUAAACAAAUUACAUAAGAAACCAUCAUGUUGGAUAAAAGGCUUCGUUUUGGGCUACCCGACUCGACCCAGUCCGGCCUGGUUGUUUGUUGCGGUUUUUGGAGGAAAAAAAAAGGCAAAUUACAAACACCUACACACCAUAUCUACCAGACUACUUCAACAUUCUUGGUACUUCACUCAAAGGGAAAGACUUAUUAAUUAGUAACAAAAACUGCACGAAGCAGAUACAUGUAAACUUGUAUUCUGCGACUACACGACGCCAAUAGGUGCCUUCACUGGAGCCUGAACUGGUGAAACAUGAGAAGUUGGAAAUGCAUCACAGUAGCCUCUAAGGAUAUCACCCUCUUGAGAAGUAAAACCGAGAGAAGUAAGCAUAGUAGGCCAGCAAUCACGAGUGAUAAUGCGAAUUGCACGACAACAGUCAAGACCAAGAUAGCUCUCACCAUUUAGAAAGAACAUAACAAUCUCGCUAGUGCAUGCUUUUAACUCUAGUAGAGCACUCCAGCAAUCUCCAAGACCUCCACUACUCUCGCCAUAGAGCCGAGCGUUAAGGUUAUGCCCUGGCUUAAUUGGCAGCUCUUUGGUUGAAGCAGUAAUUGCUCCCAUGAAGCAGGAAAUUGUUAGUAGAAAAAGAACAAAACUUUUGAAAGCCAUGGAAUGAUCAAGUAUUUUGUGUUGUUACUUGUUUGAGGUGAUAGUGAAUACUGAAUAUGUGUGAAGCAAAGGGUCAGAAUGGUGGAUUUUAUAAGCAAGAGCUAGGGAUGAUGAAAAGACUUCAGUUUCAAACAAGAUGGUUGCACGUAUCUCUUGAAGUUACAAACUGUACAGUUUCCUCUUGCAUUGAUCAUUAAAUAUACAAGUUUCAAGCAAAGAACAAAUAAAUGGUAGUUGAAGCCACAGGACAUCAAUUUGAUUAUUAUGGAUUAAAUAUCUUGCCAGACGCAAUCGAUAUUACUGCUAUUGAAAAGGCACCCGUUUGCAACCUGUAAUUCUUUUCACUUCUCAACAAUUAUAAGAAGAAAACAGAUCAUAUAUAUCUACUUUCUAGCCGUAAAAAAUACAUACAUAUAUAUAUAGGGUCUGUUUGAUUGGUCGUGGGAAAAAUUCCCACAUCAAACAUUACCCCAGAAAUUCCCAGAUGCCUGUUUGAUUGGUAAAGUUGGGUCAUGUAAAAAUUCCAUGAUAAAAAUAUUUCUCAUGAAUCUUUCCUUGACCCACCCCUAAAAAAAUUCCCAAACUUGUAAGGGAAUAUUUUUUUGUCUAAUCAAACAACUAAAAUCUUUCCCACAUAAAAUUUUCCUCAUGUUUGUAUGUCUAAUCAAAUAACUAAAAUCUUUCCCACAUAAAAUUUUCCUUGUGUUUUUAUGUCCAAUCAAACGACCCAUUAGUGGGAAUUAUUUUAUGUGGAAAUAUUUUCAACUAUAAAAAUUCCCACAAGUAGUUAUUCCCACCAAUCAAACACACCCAUAUAUAUAUAGAGAGAGGCUGUCCGGACAUACCUAAAAUAAAAAGAGUCACGUGAGUUUUAAACGCUAAUGUGAUAUAUUGUACAGGGUUGAGUUUAACCCAGUUAGGAUCCGGUUAUGCGUCUGUUUCCUGUAUUUCUUUCUACUUGUGUCUCUUUCUCUCUCUCCCCAUUUCUAAGCUUCUCUUUCUGCACUUCUUCUAAUUAAUGGAAAUAUGUUAUCAACCAAAGUAAAAAUGAAUUCAGCAGAGUAAUAACAAGGUUACAUAGUCUGACAAGCAAUUAAGCAGAGUAAUCAUGAAAUAUGGAAUCGUUUAUCAAACCAUAGUGAAUAUCAAACAUAUUCUAAUAACAAUUAAUAGACUUCAGAAUCUAUAAGAACACAAGACCAUAAAAUCUCUUCGAUCUCCUCCACCAUCUUCUAGAAAUUUCUGCAAUUUCAUCGAUUUAGAAAACCCCACAUCUUCUUCCCCAAAUUAUGGUUUGCAGAGAAAUAGACAAAUAUGGCUUCUUCUUGGGAUUUGUGAAUGCUGACUUGUGUAUGGGAUUUUGAUUAAGCUUGUAAUUUGGCUCUUAAAUGAUCCACCUAUAACCAAACUAAGAGUGAACCUUCGAAACUCAGAAUUCUUUUUUCUUUUUUUCGGUCAUCAUUCAAGCUUUUAAAUUUCAACAAUUUGUUUUCUUUUUUCGUUCAUCAUUCAAGCUUUUAAAUUUCAACAAUUUGGGAGAACAACUCAGUGGGCGGCAACAAUUAAAUGAAACAUAUAUUCUAUAAUUUUUUUAUUUUAAGAUUGAGACGGAGAGAUAUCAGUUAAUAAAGUGAAAAUAUAUUAACAGAGAAAAGACACGAAGAGAGAGAAGAAGAAUAUAACCGGUUUAAUAAGGUUUAUUUCUGACCCGAUAGAGAAACCAGAUUUACGUAAUAAUGUAAAGAGGGCGCGUGAUGUUUCUAAAAAUAUGUAAGUUCGUAUAUAUAUAUAUAUAUAUUCAAACUCCCAACGGUGUAGAACAGCUUACCAACAUGUUGAACCCAUUCCAAAGUUCGUGGGAUCAUCCACAGCAUGUAAGAAAAAACCUUAACAAAGACCUAUAGUUUGAUACUGUCUGGAUUGAUAUAACUUUGAUUCUACUUGAAUGACUACUAUUUUCAAAUUACUUUCCUAUAAAGUUUUAUUUAUCAGCUGACUCAGCAUCACAUGAAUUGCUAAAGUGCUGUUACAACGGUUAACAUUAACAAUAUCAUCUGUCCAAAUUACCAAUCACAGACCACCAUAGAAACUAGAAAGCAGCAAAACAGUUAAUUCAUAUGACUGUUACACAAGAAUUCUGGAAAUUUACGGGAAAGUGCAGCUACAAAAAGUUCGCACAAUGGAAAAAAUAAUGUUGAAACAGAAGACACAGUUCAACUAGUGUACAGGUAUAUAUGCUAACACUGAAUGCUGACAGGUCAACACCUAUCUCAAAAAAAAAAACAUACAACUGCCUAAUAUCCAUAGUUGUUCCCAAAGUCGGCAUUGAGAAUAGUAUUUUUUCUCUUACCACGUCAAUUUUGUAAUUGAUAAACUGAUAUCUAGUGAGUAUUCAAUCAGGUCAUCAACUGCCUAAUAUCCAUAGCUGUUGCCAUAGUUGUUCCCAUAGCUGGAAUUGUAGUUUGAUCCGUAGCUUCCUGCAUCUUGCCCAGCAUGUCCAGUGUUGGAUGGAGGAGAUGAAUACACAGAGCCAUGAGAAGCAUAAACAUUCUCAGCUGGACCGUUUGCAUGGUUCUGUUGUGAGCUUGCUGCUUCAGCCAUGAAAUUCUGCAAACACAUAAAUGAGUCCGGUUUAUAUAGUUAUAUAAAGGGGGAUUUAGAGAUACCCCCAAAAUAAUAGGAACUCUUUGAGAUACCCCCCAGAUUUAAAAAUCAUUAGAGAUACCCCCCAGAUUUUCAUUUUAAGCCGGUCAACCAAGCCAUUGACCAAUAUAACUUUUAUAUUGACAAAAAUACCCUUCUCAAUUGAAGUUAUAUCCUAGUCAUCCAACCCAAUUACCAUGUAUGCCAUAUCAUGUAAACUUAGAUCUAAUCCUAACUAUUCAAUAAGAUAAAACCCUCAAAUCUAAUCCUAUGGUUAGAAACCAAUAUUUUUUUCUCCAACUCUUCUUCCUUCUUCUCCUCCACCACCACUAUUAAAACCACCAAUUCCUCCACUAAACUACUAAAUCUUCUCUCUCCUCUUCUACUCAUAAAUCACCCCAUACCACCACAACCACCACCACCACCACAACCACCAAUUCCUCCACCACCACUAUUAAAACCACCAAUUCCUCCACCAAACUACUAGAUUUUCUCUCUCCUCUUCUACUAAUAAAUCACCCCAUACAACCACAACCACCAAUUCCUCCACCACCACCACUAAUAAACUACCAAUUUCUCCACCCCCACUACUAAAUAUUCUCUCUAAUCUUUUUCUCACACAAAAAAAUCUUCUCUCUCUUAUUUUCAUAAAUCACCCCACAACCACCAAUACCUCCACCACCACUACUAAAUCUUCUUUCUCCUUUUUUUCUCACACAAACAAUUUUUUUCUCUUCUUUUGUACUCGUAAAUCACCCAACACAACUACAAAAACUACCAAUUUCUCCACCACCACUACUAAGUCCACUAAUUUCUCCACCACCACUAUUAAAGUUCUUGGAUUAAUGGGGUAUGGGUGUGGUUAGGAUCAAUGGGUUUGAAUUACAUGAGAUGGACGGUUAUGAUUUAAUGGGGUAUGGGUGUUGGAUGUGAGUAAAAUUUGUUUAUGUUAAAGGUUUUGCUGACAUGGCAUACAAGUAGAUGACUAGGAUUAAGGUUCAAAUAAAAGAAGGGUAUUUUUGUCUAAAGAACAUAAAGAUGGGUCAAACAUAGGUCAAUGGCUCGGUUGACCGGCUUGAAAUGAAAAUCUGGGGGGUAUCUCUAAUGAUUUUUAAAUCUGGGGGGUAUCUCAAAGAGUUCCUAUUAUUUUGGGGGGUAUCUCUAAAUCCCCCUUAUAUAAACAAACACAACUACAGAUUUCUUUGAAUAAAAAAAAAAAGUAAGAGCAGGUCAGCAGAAAAGGAAACCAUAAAUGUCAACAAGAUGUAAUCCAGUAAAGAAAGAUGUCAAGAGAGACCUAUAAAAGUCAAAGAACUGGAAAUAUCCCAUCAACACUACAUGAACUACUUUCAACAAAAUGACAUAAAUGUCAUAUAAAAUAUGUUAAACAAGAUAACCUCCUUCGGUGGCAAUAAAACAAAUUUAAUCACCUAAAAAUAAAGGAUUUGACAAGCACCAUCGAAAAUAAAAAGAAAAGAAAAGAGAAAAUGGGAAGCACCUGUAUCAACUGCUGAGCAGUUUGAACUUGCGAACCAGUUCCAUUGAUCUCCACAGUCAUUUCACCAGGGACCCCCCUCGUUUCCUGUAUUGUAAUAGAAGCCCCACUUGCACGUCUAAUAUAGCUAAUAUUUGCACCAGCAUUUCCAAUAACCGCAUCAGCAUAGGAGAGUGGAACUUGCAUAUGCUGGGUUAUCUGUAAACAGUAAAGCAUAACGUCAUGACUAUUUUGAUUUUAUGUUUUUUCAAGAAAAGCUGAAAAAUGAGGUGCACGAUAGAAGUUGAAAAAAAUAAAUACAAAUUCCUGUUACACAUGAUCCUAAAUGCGCAGUGAUGUGCAAGACAUAAUAAUUCAUUUAACAAUGAGAUUCUGAUGGGCCAAGAUCUAUAGAAAAGACAUUGCUUUCUACACGUGACAGAAGCUAUCUAAGAAAACUAUAUAUGUGAGUCUCUCUGUGUGGUUAUGACAUUGCUUUCUACAUGUGACAGAAGCUAUCCAAGAAAACUAUAUAUGCAAGUCUCUCUGUGUGGUGGUGAUUGUGAGAUAGAGAUAAAGCACCUGUGAGAUAAUUGCUUGAGGUGGCUGUGCAUUAGCUGAAGAAUGGACCCCAAUAGAUGCAUCCCUUCCAUACAUCGAUAAACCUUGGUGAGGCUGUUUCUCCAUAGGAGGAAGGUCAGCUGGAGGAUAAUAAUUAUCAUGUUGUCGCGGAGGCAUCAUAUACUGAGGAUUUGACCCAAAGCCAGGCCCGCCGCCUGCGUGCUGUGAUCCAAAACCAGGACCACCACCUGCAUUUUGUGGCCCAAAACCAGGACCUAUACCUGCAUGCUGUGGCCCAAAACCAGGACCACCACCAGCAUUUGGUGGAAAACCUUGAGGCCCCCAGGACUGGUGUGGUGGUGGUGCAUUGUAAUCCAUUUGGGGAUGAGGGUUUUGCAUCUGUCAGACAAAUACAGUCAUACUUCACAACAAUUUCAAUGUAUCUGGAGACCACUACAAAGCUAGCUGCAAAUGCUCACAAACUAUUGAAGACGAAAACAGACUUACUUGCAUUUCAAAUAUUCCAAUUACACUUCGAUCGACUAAAAACUUCCUUAGAUGCGAUGCAAUUAGUUCUACUGCUUUGUGGACACCUGAUGCUUCGCCUUGUACCUCAACGAUCCUGUCAUCUUCUAGAGCAAACACUGGUAGAUCAUCUGCAAGACCAAAAAAUUCCAGCACAUUACACAAAGAAUGUAUAUUCUUACCUUAAGAAACAUGUGAAAUACAUGAUACUAAAAAGAAUUGCUUGAUUUUCAAUUGUUCAUCAGCAAAAUGAAGCUUGCAUAAUUAGAAAGUUACAGAUCGGAAUAAUUUCAGAGAAAAACUUACAACAGUAGUAUUCACAUGUGCCUUCAAUAGUCGUGCAACAUAUGUCUAUUAUAUAAUGAAUACAACAGUCGCAGCGUUAAAAGCACGGUAAAAAUUGCCACGACAAUUUGCAAAAUUCCGAGGAAAACUGGGCGUUUGGGAAACUAUUGUCAGAUUCUAGUCAACUCGUGAUGGUGCAUGAACCUCGACUUAUAAGGGUGCAUGAACCAAAUAUCAUAAAUAUAGGUCAGAUAUCGCUAAAAUAAUCGACAAAGAAAUAUAGAGAACUUAAGCAAGAGAGAGAAAAAAAUGAGAUAGGGAAGUUUCCUAAACCAAAAUUAUUUAGCACCAUUUGAUAAACACUUCGCCAAAUAAAUAUCACCUCAUCACACCAUAACGCACUCAUGAGUAUGGUAGAUCAAUAGAGUACAUAUAAGUAUUGUUGUGAGCAACAAAAGCGAAAAAUCUAUAUUUGGUUGAAUGGAGGCAGGGCUUAUAUUUUCGAAAUAAAAAAGAAAGUGCAAAAAUGGAUAACAUAAUUAUAUAAGAGCACUAUGUUCCUGAAAACAAGAACCACUGCUGACUAUUUUCUUCUUUUUAAUAAACAAGACUAAAACGAUUAAUUAUGAAAACGAUCAAUUGAAGUUAUAACUUUACCUAGAAACUUAAAGAGAAGAGAAAUAUAUAGAGAGGGAAUGGCAAAUCCUUUGAAGCUCACCUUGACCAAGAACCCGAAUAAUACAAUUUGAUGCUUCUUGAAUAGAUUUUAUUGUUGCCCCUUGCUUCCCAAUCAAGCUUCCAGCUUGUGUAGCUCCAACAAGAAACCUUGACAAUAUUGUCCCAGCAGUGUUAGGUGGAGCAUUGGAAAGAUCACUAUCCAGACCAUCAGCAAUACGUUUGUGGACCCUUAGCAGACCAUCAAUUGCAGGUGGAAGAGGGGCAUCCGGUUCUUCUUUCGCUGAAAUCAAUACCUAAAAUAUAUAAAAAAACAAAGUGGAAAAAGAACAUAUUGGUAAAUGAUCGUCAUGAAAUAAGGAUAAAUUUAACAAUAGGUCAGUGACAUCACAUUGUUCUCACUCCAUUCUAAAAUUUUACGCAUCAAAUAGCAAUCUGAAUGUGUGUUAUGAUAUGUAGAUGAACAGUAAAUCAAAAAUCUAAGAUCAUGUUUCUCAUUAGAUACAGGCUAACCCAGAUGAUGCAAGGUACUCAAGCAAGUAUUCUUUACACCAAACAUAUGUAAUUAAAGAUUCUACUUUAUCUCCUUUCAAGAAGUUAGAGGAUAUAUCAUUAUGGGUAACAAUCCUACUACAAAUAUCUUAAUUAGCAAAUUGCACGAAAGCGACUCCCAUAAUGACAACUCAAUUUGCAAACAACAAUUGUACCACAUAAACCUCAAACUGUCAGACAUAAAGCUUCCAGACAUGCAUUUGGAGACCACAGGUUAUGUGCAUGCCCCAAAUAUACAAAUUGCAAUGCAAUUAGCUCGACAGUGAAUUUUUGAAUUCAACAUUCACUAUACUUUGUAAACCAUCUGAGCUAUAUGCUCAAAAGAUGUUUUGGCCUUUGUUUUCAGAUUCGACUUACUAUGAAAUAGAAAUGUAUUUAAGAUUACGAUGUAAAUGGCAUGCUCUUAAUGCUUAUGUGCCUUGUACUUGUUGCUACAGGACUUGGCAACCACCCCAACCUAAAAAGAAAAAAUAAAUCACUUUUUCAAUUUGGUCAUGUAGCUAUAUAAUUGUGUAAAAAUAUCCCGUUUCGCAAUAAUAUAAGUUGUCAUUGAGCUAUAGACUAGUGACAUGGUGCACAGAGAAUAUAAUUAUACAACAGUUUCUUUUCAGUAGAUCAACCCCUGUUGCAUAUUUUAAUGUUUUCUAGUAUACUUAAGCACUUGGUACUUUCCGAGUUUUUGGUUAUUUAAUCAAGUUACCUCAAACCAACAAGGUUACAAUCUAAAUCCUACCUUAAAGCCCUUUAUUCUGUAAACAGUAUCCUGAAGAUGGUCUCAUAAGUCGUUGCCUACCACAGAAUACAUCAUACUUCUUAUUUUUUUAGCUACGUAGAACCUUUGGACUAAAUUAUAUUACUUUCAAUUUUAUUUUAUUUCCUCCAUCAACCUUUUACAGAAACAUUACUUAAUUGAAGAGUUAUCAAUUAUUAAAUAGUCUUUAGCUUCAUUAAAAACAUAUGUGUUUAACUGUUUUGAGACAUUGCCAAAGAAUGUGGUGUUAAAAAUGAACUUAAGUAACCAUUUUUAGAUGCAAUAGUAUUAAGUAUCAUGUUAUUGCUAAUUUUGAAAUGAGGCUUGUUGUAGUAGUUUAAACAUGUGUGGAAAGAUAUCAGCUAACCAAGUACGUUACCAGAGUAAACGCAGAGCUUCUUGGUACAGAACUUUGUCCAAGACUCCGAAGUAUCUAUGAGUACUUAGUCAAAUCAACUUUUCAGCACAUGUCUUGCUCGAUGCUGAUGUUAGCGAUCUCGAUCUUUGUUCUUCUAGUUUGGAAUCACUUUUGUGAUUCAUUCAUUGCCGUUUAGGUUCACGCGCAGAUCCUGCAAACAUUAGUUGUGAUUAUUGUGAAGCACGGUAUUGGAUCUACGCCUUAUUAAUUGGUAUUUAUCUUUUCGCUCUUUUCUUUUUCCUUUUCAAUUAAAUUAAAUUUACUUUGGGGCAUGUUAAGUGUUAACAUAUACUUAUUAAAAGGUUAUGUUAUUCGCCCUUGACAAUCUAAGAUACAUCAAGUUAUUCUUGUAUUAGAUACUCGGUAUUGUAUAUGCAUCAAUUCCAUAAAAGCCUCCUCAAAUAAAUUAAGGAGGUAUUCCCAAGAUUUCAGCAUAAUAACUGCCUAAAUUUAGUUGUCCCAUUAAGCUGGCAAAGGUUAACAGAGAAGGAUGACUUAAUAGGUAAUGCCUCUCGCUCUCAGUAAUACAAAAUCAUCUUUACAAGUUAACAUCAGAUCUUGUCUGUGCCUAAACAGCAUACAAGUGGGGAAUUUCAGAUUAAUAUGAAGAUAACCGUCACAAAAAGCCACCGUGGCAACUAAUAUAAUAUUAAAUGUUUCCCAAAGAUAAUGCCACAGGGAUUAAGGAAGAGUAUAGAAAAGCUUAAUCACGACUUCGAUCAGUGAAUCACAUUGUUUGGAAUAUGUCAUGCAAAAGGUCAGUUGUUUCAUUUGCCUUCUCGUGCAAGUAAUCAAAAAGAAAUACGCAAAGCUAACAAAUUGUAUUUGUUAAUACAUCUAAAACCCUAAAUAAACUAUAUCUAUGUAGACUGUCAAUCUAAUCCUACACUAUCAGUUCUACAGGUCCGAGUAUUCUGAAACAAAAAGCUCUAUCAUAAACAACUUACAGCUCUUUCUUGAGUGCCUGGAGGACCAUCAAGAAUUUUAAUGCGAGCUCUAGUCUCCUCACACAUUUUUUUGAUAAAUUCUCCUUUGCGGCCAAUGAUUCCCCCAACUUUUUGUGAUGGAACUAGGAUUCUAAAAACACUUUCUCCAGGCCAUCCAGGCCACCUCUUUUCAACAGGUCCACCUCCUAAAUCAUCAUCUUGUCCUUGCUGUUGUUGAGUGUCUGUGUUCUCUGGCAUACUUGCAUCAAGUUCAUUGUUGUAAUCUUCCCCGGAAGCUUCCAUACUGCAAGAACAAAAAUUUAUAAUUCAUGAAUAAAUUUGAGGGGAAGUCACAGACAAUUUCAUACAUGAUAAAAGUUUUUAAAAAUCUGAAUAUCUACAAAUUCUGAAUCCAAAGAAUAAAACAUAAAAUCUUCAAGAAGUUAAAUAAAUUGUCCCAUCAUAAAAGCAAAGCUAAAACCAUACAAUUUAAAAACAACCUACCAUCUAGAAAGAAGAACUGCAGCCCCUUAAUUUAUUAGCACAGAUGAGCAAACCGUCAAGAAAAAUUACAAAUGGUUAUAGAGAGAAUCAAUAUACUUUCACAUAUGAAUCUGAUAACACAAAGCUAAUUUUCCUCUCCUUGUACAGGAUAUAAUGAUAUAUCAAUUUAUUAUAAACAUACUUCAUUUUGUUAAGUUUUAUCUCAAUACAUGGAAUAUACAAGCACGCCUAGAAAAAAUUAUUGCCAACAGAUACGGGUGACACAUGCAAUCAGACACGCCUAGGCACACAAGACUUGCGCCUAUGUGAAAAUGUUGCCCAAAGCAAUAGUGCUUAGUAUGUAUAAGCAAAUCACGAAGUGAGCCAGUUUUUUUUUUGUUUUGUUUUCCUUUAUAUUUGUCCUCAUCUUAAACUUCCCCACAAAAUCCUCGACCAAUUUAUGAUUGCUAGUUGCGUUCAAGAUAUCCAAACCUCUUAAUUGAAACAGAUGUCACUUUUAAUCGAAUAUGAACAAAAAAACCCACAAUUUUGAACAACAUGUGAAACAAAAACAGGUUGGGAGUUCGUAAUUUAGAUAAAUCCAAGCCUAUGGUGGUGACAUAUAUUCUUUUGAGACAGAUCAAAUUUUACAAAUAAGAACAACACUAUAAAGCAGUCUACACGAGUUUCGAAGCUCUAUCAACUCAUCUGAUAUAAACAAAAUCACAUACGAACACCUCAAGCUUUAAAGAACAUGAAUCGAACACGAAUUACUUAAUAUAGAAAGAUUAAAUCCUAGCCUUAACUAUAUUCGUUAAUUCGUUAAAGAUAGGUGAAGUUCGUUUGUUCGUAAAACAAGAAAAUGAACUAAAUCAAAGAGUUUGAAAAAAGAAAAACAAAUCAUAGAUUCACCAUGAAACCCUAGAUUUAAGAGAGAGAGAGAGAGAGUUAAACUUACAGUUUCUGAGCGAUGAGAGAUGCAGAGAGAGCUUUGUUGAAGAAAACGGCGGGGUGAACAGAGAGAGAGAGUAGAGAGAGAGAGAGAGAGAGAGAGGUGACUGGUGUGCGACGAAGUUAGGUUUUAUCCCUAGGAGUGAGUGACAAAGAUGCUUCGACAGGCCUUUUAUUAGUGAGUGAUGAAUUGAAUUCUAGAUUCUCACGUAAAAGGGUCGGGUAUAAUACGGCCCGAAUCAAUAGUGACAGUUUUGGAUUUUGGGCCUUUUGAAGUGAGACCCAAUAACUAGGCCCAUAGACUUCAGAAAAGUCCGUAAUGGAUGAUUUAAAAGAAUCAAAAGAUUUAUGAACUCUGAUAUUUGGUAUGCUAGUCACCUUACACAAACAAAAUCUGGUUUUACUUGCAUUGAUGUUUUAAAUUACAUUCAUUCAACUUUCUCAUCUUCAAAAACUGAUUUCAAACAUUGUUUGUCCUCUGUCGUGUCCAUUGCAUAUUUUAUCUGCCUGCAUGGAAAUAAUGUUGUUUUCAAGGAUGUUGCUCCCAAACCAUCAUUCCAACAAGUUCUAAUCCCAGCCCAAAGAUCUAUCAUUCCUGAACCAAGACCUACACCUCACAACCACAUCAGCCCCAGCCUUAUACCUAAAGCUAUUAAGCAAUCCUUAUUCCUUUUACUUACUGACGGAUCGUACGAUGAGACUAGUGCAACUGCAGGUUGUGGUUACUUAUAUGGACAGUAUGCUCACAUCCCAACUUUUGCAGGAAUCAAUCGACUUAUUGCAGCAUCAGCCGAAGAAGCAGAGGGCAGAGCCAUCAAACAAGGAUUAAGUUGUGCUCUAGGUGAAUCUGUGAAGCAUGUUGUUGUUUUGUCAGACGGUCAAAAUUGGAUUUGCAAGAUAAAGGGUGAAAGUGCAGAUUUAGCUUGGGAACACAAUGCUCUUUUGGCAGAUAUUCAGUGUCUGGUUGCGCAAUUCUCUUUUUGUGUUUUUGUUUGUGUUCCUAGAUCUCUUGUCAACUGUGCACAUGUACUUGCAAAUGAGGGACGUCUGUUUGUGUCUUAUACUCUUAUGUUGUUAAGGAAAUGUGUAAAUGUGGUCAGGGUAGUACAUAUUUACCUUUCAGAGUCUUCAAUGCCUUUAGAGAAAAGGCAGAUGAUAUGUACAAACUAUUAUCCUUCUAUUAAUAGUAGUGCGUUCUUUUGAAACAAAAAAAAAAAAAAAAAAAAAGAUUUAUGAACAUCAAAGAUAACAUCAAAAUGAUUUUUGGGGCCAAAUGUUGUUUUUAAUUUUGUUCAAUCUAUACAAACUUUGCAACAUCUUUCCAUGCAACUUCAUUUAGUUUUCACAAGAAAGCCUUCUCUCUAAAAAAGUUUCCCAUAGUACAGUUCCAUAAUCCCAAAUGCAUUUAACCAAUCUUGGUUUAUAUCUCAACUUGAUUGAAUUGAUUCUGCAAUUCAGCCACCAAACAUUAGGCUAGGUUAACUAGUAUAGUAGUAUACCAAUAUAUGUGAAUACAAUACCAAGUGUUACAAACUUACAACAAACUAUAAUACUAUGCAAUAUGCAUUUAACAACCUGACAACACCUAGCUAAUAAUACAAGGAUAGUAAAAUACUGCUGUGUGCAUAUACAUAUAAGUUCUAUGUAGGUAGGGGGUGAUCAUUUGUAGGUGUAUAUAUAUCCUUACAUAAGAAGCUUGCGAGAAGUUCGGCACCAUUGGCUAUAGGAUUUUUGAAGAUUGGGCCAAUCUGAAUUGCAAUAGAUGUAGUCUUGGAGCCAAUUUGUAAGGAUUAUUUCUUGAUCAGCUACAGGCAAGGAAGAAAUGACUUCAUCCAACAUUUUCUCCAUUUCAUUUUUCUCUGUAACUGUUAACGUUGGGUAUGGAAGUCCAUCAUGGCUUGCGUAGCAGAAUAAAGGUAGCCAUAGUAUGAGUAGUCUAAACUUCACCAUCCUUGGAACCUCAGUUUCUCCUUUUGCAAGCUCUCGAACCAUAAUAGCUGUGAAUAUUCAAAUGAUAAUGUCCUGUUAGUAACUUACUACUAUGAAAAAUUAUGCUGCGCAUUUUCUUUGAUCUUUAGAGUCCUCAAAUUCCAAAUAUAGUUGUACUACAUUUCACAGUAGAUCAUAGAGAUAGAGAUACGAAACUCACCAGAUAUUAUGACCAUGGUGCUUUGCACUCUUGGAUUUGCCAUAAGGGAUGAUGAAGCUAAAGCUGAUGCAAAGCUCCACUGCACCAAUGCUUCGUCGACAGCCCCACAACCUCUUAGCUUUUUCGUGAUCCACAACAGCUCUUGUGCAAACUUCUCGGCCUUGACAAAAUCAUAUCCCCCAUGUGUGGCCUCACUGCUGCUACCACUUGCAACAUUGUUACCUAUUGGCAAAAAACUGGAGAGAUAUCGGAUUCCCUUAAAGUAGAAAGCAAGAUACGAUCCAAGAGGUAACGAGUAUAAUAUUCGCGAAGGCCAUCCAUCAGUUUGACUAAUAACGUCACGGCUGAUGUGCAGUGAUUGGUACAGUAAGUUGGUUGUACGAGCAAAUGCUGACGAAAGGGCAGCACGAUUGAUCUCUUGCAGUGCUACAUGACCAUCUCUUACAUUCUCGUCCACAAUGUUUUCAGCCAUUGCCAUUGCGAAUUGGUACUUCCUUGACGUUGCAGGCAUAUCAUUCAAUAAGGAAAAAAUCUGCAAAGACCAAACAAUAUAAGAAAAUCAAUUGUAAUCAGUUUCCGGUAAUCACAGAACGUAGGAUAGAAUGAUAGAUAUACAAACUUUACACAAUAAUAUAGGCAUGCGUUCUAGACAAUUAACUGAAAAUCGAAGUAUCUGACCUGAUGAUCUGAUACCCAUCCGAAAGAGUUCAAUGUUUUUAUAUGCAGGGCUCAAUUUUCCUCUAGAGUGUAACAUGAUAACACGGACACAAACAAAUGCCUAUUUGAACUUGCUGUCAUACAGGAUGUUCGAAACAUAUACAGUCAAAAUUUUGGUUUGGACUAAUUUGGUGUGAAUAUUCUGAUCCUAUGGCAAACCGAAAAUCCAUGGCCAGUUCUGCCAUUUGGAAUUUCGUUGGAGUAUAUUUCCUUUUUAUGAAUUCACAAAUUCCACUUAUGAUCUUGAUACAUAAAUGCAAAACCCAUCCGUUCAUUUGUAAACAGGUUAAUUACUUAGGGUUCUACCUAGUUUUUCAAAGAAACCAACAUUAUCAUUCAUAAGAUAGUAAAACGAAAUUAAUCUAUGAAUCAAUGUCAUCAUCUUAUCAAGAUGAUUUCAUGAACUUGGUCAAAAUUAUUGGAACCAUAUUUGGUCAAAUUCUUAUUGCUUUGACUGCAUCAUUCAUACUCACCCACUCAAAAUCUAAAUCAAAUAUGACUAUCACCGACUCAAAAUCAGUACUGUAAAUCAAAGGAGAAAAAAAAUUCUUACAUGUGAAAGUGCUCUACCAAUGGCUAUACUAGAUGGUCCACCACACUCAUCUGUGUAACCAUCAUGCACAACCAAAUCAGUUGAUGUUGAUGAUGAAGAAGAUAACUCAGAAGAAGAUCCAAGGCCGAUUAAUCCACCACCAGUAAGAAAAUAAUGAGGAGAUGGAAGAAAAGAACAAGGCAUAUAAUCCAUUAAAACGCGCAGAAACCAUACAGUCAUCCAAGUCAUUAACAUGAACAUAUAACGUAUAUGAUCAGUUAUUCCCCAUUUCUCUACUACACCACCACUUCUUGUUGAUGUUGAAGCUACUGAUAAAAGACUUUUAGCAGCUGUGUUAACUGUAGACAUGAAAAGAGAGUUUAAAAGUGAUGAUGGCUUUGUUGGAUAUUUGAUUAUUUGCUCCAUCUUGACCCCUUUUUUUUCCCUGUGAAUUGAGAUGGUGGGAAGAACUGAAGAAGAAGAAGGAGGAGAAGAGAAAUUUAAAGGAAGUUUUGCUAGUUUGGAAUUAAGGUAGGUUGCUUAAUAAGAUUUGCAAGUAUGUUAUAGACUUUUGUAUCAUUUACCUGAGAAAAUAACAAAAUAGCACAUUCAUGCAUUUUUUGUUCGGUUUCUUUUUUCAUUUACCCAAAUUACCCUCCAUCAUACUUUAAGAUUAAAAUUAACAACUACAGUCUUCUGAGGGUACUACUGUAAAAGAAGGUUUCGUCUUCCAAGCUUCCUUGUGACCAGGGAAGAUUCUGUUUGAUUCUUUGAAUUAUAUCAUCAAGCGGUGUAGACAUUGGGAUGACGGUGGUACACAAUCUGUCAAAAUUAAAGGAGGUUAACGCUAACCAUGCUAAUCAGCUAAUGUGCUUUUUAUACCUGAUUCCAAAAAUGAUCUCGUGGUGCAUGUUGUCCUCUGCAACCACCACAAUCUGACAAGUGACACUUGGGAAGUUUCUUAUUGUGUUGUAUUUGUUUAUAGAUCGACAUGUGUGAGUUACUGCUAUCCAAGAAGUGGAUCUGUUAGUUCUGGAAUCAAACAUAAUUGCCAACAAUAAACAUGAUUAUCAAUCCACUAAGUUGGGCUUUAAAGUUGGGCUUAUUAAUGAUAACUAACUGGUCUCUGUUGGGCUUUGCAUGACAUGUCACAUGUUGACGGGAGUCAAAGUGUAGUAGAAUUAAUAAUGGAACUGGUGUGCUUGGACACUAAUGAUUUCUUUUGAAAAGUCGAUAAAAAGUACUACACCUUAAACUCAUCAAACACUGGUGAAGUAAAAGGAAGAAGAAGAAGAUGAGUUUGAGAUUUCUUCAAGUUCUGAUUAUUCUGCCAAUUCUGUUCUUCUUUCAUGCAAAUUUAACUUAUAGUAAUGAAGAAGACCCAACAAUCAAAACAAUAGAACAGUUCUCAGGAUAUGCAAUUCAUGAAUCCCAAUCAUGCUCUGCAUCUUCUUUAUCAGUCGAUACUGAUAGCUUACAACGACAAGUAAUGUAACACUUCUUGAUAGUUAAUAUUAAUGGGUUUUUAUUAUUUUCUCUAAAUCUUCACUAUUUGUUCUUAAUUUUGUUGUUGAGCUAGAUGGAGUGGAUAUGAAGAAAUUUUAAUUUGUUUGAUGUUAAUAUUUGAAUUAAGUAGGUUCAUUUUGUGCAAAUUUGGUUGUUUUAAUGCAUUGUCUGAAGUGGGUAUUUUGAAUUGUGUUAUGUAGAUUGAUGAGCUAUCCACUUUCUCUGAUACACCUGCUCCAUCAGUUACUAGGAUCUUGUACAGUGAAAAGGAUGUAUUGGCUCGAAGGUAUGUGUAGUGAAGUAUAUCAAAUUGUGACAGUGAUGAUCAUAUAAAAAUGAUUAUAGUGAUGAAAUGCUAUUUUUUUUUUCUUGUUAAAAAUAUCACUUAAUGUGUUCGCACCUACAGUACAAUUCUGAUCUAUCUUGCUGUGGGCAUGCUUCGCAUAUCAUUACUUAUUUCUAUUUUAUAUUGGCAAUGUUGAUAUUCGAUACUGUAGCAAUUCUAGUCAGCUGCGGCAACAUUUUCAGUCCUUAAGUAUAUGGCUUAAGUUUGUGGAAAUAACAGUCUGUUAAGUGCUAAUUCCUAGAGAUACAUAUGAGAAAUUCUAUCUUGGACACUUGUUAGAAUAGCAUGCUGCGAGGUUUAUAAGGUUGUAGGAUUCUCAAAGUAUAGGAGCAUUUUGGUUCUUAUUAUCAUAUACCGUAUCCAAAAUGUUUGUUUGUGCAAAUUGUUUUUGGUUAGUCUAUAGUUUGUAAGCGUCUGGUCAGAUUCUGAGCUAUCUACAAAUCUUCAACACUGAAAAUAAGAUAUUGUCUGUGAUGUAUACUUUAUGUUCGAUAUCUUAUAGUAUUAUAGUAACUGGUUACAUUCAUUCAUUUGGUUGCUAGUUUAAUCUUCCUAAGUUGUUGUUGGGUUUUUGUUUUCCAUUUUGUUUGUUUUGCCACUUUUGUAGUUUUCUCAUGACACCAUCUGUUUAUAAUUUCAAAUUUAAAUUUGCAGAUAUGUCAAAAACUUAAUGGGACUUGCGGGUUUAUCUGUUAGAGAGGAUGCAGUUGGCAACAUAUUUGGUCGAUGGUAAGUGUUUGAAUCUCUAUUACAUGACAAAUGUGGAAUAACCGAAUAAUAUACAGUAUAAGGAGGUAUAUGAUUUCCAUCAUAUUUCUAUAAAUUGCAUUUUCUAGUGGGUAUGUAGUUUGAUUUUUAAUUUUUUCGAAAAACUAUAAGUAGGCUUUUGUUGCUCUAGUUUUGCAUGAGCCACUUAGUUGAAGAACUACAGUACAUAGUGUAAGCCCUUUCCUUUAUGAGCUUAGUUGAGUUCCUUACUGCUUCACCGCUACUACCUGCAAUGACCACCGGACAAUGACCGGUGGAUAAAGCUCCAACAAUCAAGUCAGUAAGCGGCUAGGUUUAGAAAAUAGGUUUUAGCAAGGAAUGAACAGUUACCUUUAGCGAACCCUAACGCGAUCCUUUUAUAGCGAUAUUCACCGCCUUCCUUUAACCGUAGGAUCCCCCUAUGCAUCCUAUGGUUCUCUCAUCUCCUACGUGUUUCAUUCUCCAUCACAUACUAUAAGGUGAAUGCUUGACAGCCAGACAUCACGUGCUCUAUCCGUGAUACUCUAGAAUGUUCUGUAUUCUGAUUGGGUACCUCCCGGUUUGCUCUCCUUAUCUGGCUCCUGUGUCCUCAAUGUUCCACCUAGCAUGACUUGGUACUUACAUCGCCCCUCCUUUGACCGUUAUCAAUAUACAUUUGAUGGCGGCUCAAAGGCUUUUUCUCUAAACGUAGACUCCUUAUGGCGGCGGGAGACCGUCAUGAUUCCUUUUCAUCACUUAAUCUAUCACCUGCUUCUCACGUGCCCUUAGUCUUAUCUUAUCCUUAUCUUUCCAGCUGUUCAUUAAUUACGCAUGCCCUCGUGUCCCGUGCUUCCGACGCAUGCCUCUUUGAUUUCCCCUAGGCGUAAUCAUAAUUCGGACGGCUACCCUUCCACUUCCCAACGCAGUUGUCUUGUCAUCACUGAUCUUCCUUUAUUUUCUUCCCAUAUUACCCCUUCAUCUACAUUUGUAUAAAAACCAAAUCUUUAACCUACUUCCCCCAUUUGCUUUCAUUCUCUUCCAUUCUUCUCUUCUUGUUUAUUUUUCUCUUCCGCCUCCGACUUGUUUACAGCAUCUCACACCGUCCGGAAUCCUGAAAAGCUCGAUUUUCUUCUCUAUUUCUCCCUUCGUCGACUAUCUCAGGUUAUUCUUUCUUCCUUACUUGCUUGAUUUUAAUUUAACCACUACUAGAUUUAGAUUUUCCGUUUUUCAUUUUUCUUCUCCUUGCUAUAUAUUCCAAAUUAUGUUUGCUGUAAGUUACCAAUUUAUUCUUCUCCUCUCUUUUCCUCCUCUAGGAGUCACCCUGUACACGCCCCUAAUCUUUCUUUCCUUACGAUUUUGGUGAGCCUUUUUUUAUACAAAUGGCUUCUCAUCAAAAUCAGAAGAAGAAAGAUUCUUCGAAGAAGUCGGUUGAAAGAGGUCAAGGUGAUGGCGGUGUUCAUCCCUCUCCUUCCGGUUACUACCUUGAUUCGUAUGAGCCCAGCACUUAUCCAUAUAGGCCUGAUUUAGAUUUAUUCUGUGAGUUGUACGACAUCCCCGAAGACAUAAAAAAUUUCAACUACCGACAUGCCCUACGUUUUGCACAUCACGAAUUUCGCCGCCAAGAUGCUAUUAUGGUGACAGCCCACCAAAUAGCUUUUGGUUGCCGGUUUCCUUUCACUGAUUUAGUCCGUGAUGUGCUCAACUUUUACCAAGUCGCCCCUGGACAAUGUAUUGGUAACUUCUGGCGUAUCUUGCGGGCCAUAGACCAACUUAAUAACGAAGGAACCACCGUUUCCCUAGCUGACAUACGUCAAUGUUAUUAUCUUCGGGUCUGCGAAGAAAAAUGUGGUCAACCUUACUAUUAUUUCGUCAAACGCCCCGGUAGGCGGUCCAUUAUUGAAAAAUUGCCGGAAAGUGACAAGGAAUGGCCUGACUUUCCUAUGAUUGUCUUCGGCAACUUCGGGGGAGAAGGACCUGGCAUUUCCAACCCCUUAAAAUACUGGCGAUUUAAUUUAGGAGGUUUUUUCCUUCCUUUUUCUAUUAACAUUUCUAGGAUGAAAAUCCUUUUGAUUGUGUCUUUCUAAUCCUUACCAUAUUUUCUUUUUUCUGCCAUCCCAGAAGUUCGCGGUGACGGCAAGGCCAUAAAACCCCGCAAAGACACCCCUUGGGAGCCCUUGAUAGGGUCUGGAACUGACGGUUACUCCGCCCUUCGUGAGCUUACUCUAUCAAGGAAAGACGGUACCCCGCUUGCUAAGGAUCUUGACCUAGGGGAAUACGUCUUGCCCGUCUGCUGCCACAAAGAUUAUCUAAAGGAUAAGAAAGGCAGGUCUUCUACUAUUCCUCCUACUUCCCGAUCAACACAAAGGAAGGGUAAGGCUUCUGCUGCUGCCGCUACUGAGUUGGAGAGAAAAUCUGAUGAUGGCGGAGAUAAUAUCCCACUUCAGAAGAUCCUAACUAAAAAGAGAACUCGUGAACCUCCUUCCGCAGUUUCAGCGCCAUCCGAGAAGAAGAAGCAAAAAAGAGUAACUGCCCAACUUCCUCCUUUCUUAGCUGCUCUUCGAGUUCAAAAGAUUGUCAGGCACUGUAGUCGUGAUCUUUCUUCUUCUUCAACUGAAAGUUCUGAUUUUCAGGCAGUCCAAGGUGAACCAGAGACAUUGCCGGAAUCUCCUGAAUUUCCCCUGGCGCGUCCAAAGCAUCCUGGUCCAAGCAUCCCUAGAGUGAAAAGGGCCACAAUGGCUGAAGUUCCUUCUCCCCUCCCGGAAUCUCCUUCUACUUCCUCCAACGAUUCCAUGGAAGUUCCUUACCAACCAGAUUUUAGUGGGCACAAGGUUUCCGUGAACCUUGAUGAACUUGGAUUUGGUGAUGAUGGUCUCACAUUUGGAGAUAUCGGCACAAACGACGUCGCCCAACCAGGUUCAACUUCUCAUCCUUCAUCUUCUCCCGCUAGGGGAUUUCCCAUGGCUCUCCUUGAUCCAAACGAGCCCCCUACUGUUGGUGUGAUGCCUCCACCACUUCUUGCUGAUCACGAAAUUUUUGACGUUGUUACAUUUGUUGCACCUAUUCGUGAAGCACCUAAGUACACCUUCCAUCGUACUUCUAAUUAUUCUUCAUCUGGAUCAGGUGAUCAAGCCGGGGAUGAUCCGCAAUUCUCUCCAACUCCUGAUGUUGAAGUUAAUCCGGCAACAGCUACUGGUGAUGCUUCUACACUUCCUGCCGGUGUUAAUCCUCAAGCCCCUCCUUCAUUCUCUGAGUUCAUGCCGGCCCCAAAUUCUGACAAGGUUGGCCCCUCUUCUCGCGUUAACAUAUCUCCUGAUCCUCCGUCUCCCCAGCCUUCGAGCAAGAUUCCUGCUGUUCCUCCUCCAUGUGGUCCCUCCGAUUCAGCCUUCGAUAAUGGAGCAACUGCUUUCUCUGCCCUUUACAAUUCUAUUCUUCCUUCUGAUCAAGCUAGAAUUGAUGAGAUGAGCUUUGAUGAAUGCCGGGAUGCAUUUUUCCGGGGUCUAGCUCUCGUAAGCUUUUUCUCUUUUUUUUUUUUUUUUUUUUUUUUAUAUAUAUAUAUUCUAAACACCUAUUGAAUUGUAGGUUAACGGUAUUUCCGUCAAGUCUUGUUCGUUCACUUCCAACCUGCGAACUGAGCAAGAAAGAAUUAUAAAAGAGAAGCAUGACCUCACAGUGGACAAGAACCGAUUAAUCCGCGAGAAAUGGGCUCUUCAAGCUGAGAUCAAGCAACUUAAGAUUGAACGAAAGGAAGCAGCCGCGUCUCGUGAGGCCGAAAUCGAGAAGAAUCGGAAAAGGCGGGUGGGCGAGCACCGUGAGCGCAUUGUUGCACUUGAGGCUGCUCACGCCACGGAGAUAGCGAAGUGGGAGGGGAAAUACCAUGACCAAAUAAUCACAAUAGAUGAACUCAAAGUCAGUCAUGAAGUUGAUUAUGAACAGUACCGGCUCGAAAUAAAGGAGCAAAAGGAAACUCUUCUGGCUGAGUAUAAAUUAAAAUACGAGGAGCUGGUGGCGAAAUCCAAAGAGCAGAUCACCAUGCAAGUGAAGGCUCAGGUGAAGGAGAACUUGUCCUCCAUUCUUGCUGCCAAGAGAAUGCGGAUGACGCCAUCAUCUCCCAGUGCUUCCACCCGAGAUCCCCUGCCUUGAGGUGUAAUUUGACUAAUCUUCCGGCACUACUUUUGUGCAAUUGUAAACUUUUACCCUAUCUUUUUGAUCUGAAACUUCUGUAAUUGUUACCAAUUAAUGCUACUUUCUGGUAUUGGUUUCUCAUGUGUUAACAUUAGGCUAUACUUCUACUGAUCCCGUCGUCACGGUUCAGCAAGUGCAACCCCAUUAACACAUUAGCACUAUUGCUCUUCUCUCUUAGAGGCACCCCACUGUAUUGUCUAAAUCAAACUCAGUGGGGAAGAAAUAAUCAUAUAGAGACUUUAACAUUUAGUUAACGGCUUGCCUUGCCAAGUCUACACUUAUGUUAUUUCCCACCAACCUUAGUUGGAUUUCUUCUAUGCCUGACCUUUGGCCUGGUCUCAGACAAUACUGAUAUAUAUAACUGGAUAAAUCAACAAAAAUAAACGCUUAUAUUUUCAUUGAAACUUAAACGCAGAUACAUACUUUCUACUCUUUUCAGCGAAUCAAACUUAACAACGCCUACUAUCUUGUUGAUUUAAUACAUCUCUGCCCUCUAGGCAUAGUAUUUCUUUAGAUUGCUAAUACUCCAUGGCUUGUCGAGAGGGGUACCGUCUUGGUAGGUCAAGUAGUAUGCUCCAUUCGUUCCCACCUUGUCUAUCACAAAAGGCCCUUCCCAGUUUGGCUCUAGCUUGGCUGGAGGCGGAUUCUGUUUUCUUAGCACAAGAUCCCCUGGAACAAGGCUUCUUGGCUUGACUUUUUUGUUGUAAGUCCUUUCUAGCUGUCGGUGAUAACUCUCCAAUCUGAGCUUGGCACGCUCCCGUACCUCCUCUGCUAAGACCAGCUCUCUCUCUAUUAUCUCAUUAUUCUUCCCCAGGUCGACUACCAUCCUUCUAGCCGUAUGUACCAACAUUUCUUGAGGGAUCACAGCUUCCAUGCCGUAGGUGAGAGAAAAUGGAGUUGCCCCUGUAGAUCUUCUCGGUGUCGUCCGGUAAGCCCAUAGCACUUCCCAAAGAUUUUCGUACCACUUUUCUUUCUUCUCCUCCAGCUUCUUUUUCAAUACCUCCAGUAUGGCUUUGUUUGAUGCUUCCGCCUGCCCAUUUCCUUGCGGGUGAAAGGGUGUUGCAAAGAGUUGCUUUACGUUAUAACUUGCCAAAAACUGUUUCAAUUCAUCUCCACGGAAUUGAGCACCGUUAUCUGCCACUAUAGCCCUUGGUAAUCCAAACCUGCAGAUGAUGUUGGUCCAGAUAAAAUUUUUGACAUCUACCUCCCUGAUCCUUCGUAACGGUUCUGCCUCAAUCCAUUUCGUAAAGUAAUCUGUGGCCACUAUUAGAUAUUCUCUUCCUUGUGACUUCUCCAGCUUUCCCACAAUAUCAAUUCCCCACAUCGAAAAGGGCCACGGGUUACUAAUAAAAUGAAGGUUUUCAGCUGGGGUAUGUAUCAGUCUCCCAUGAAUCUGACAACCAUGACACUUCUUAGCAUAGUCGCAGCAAUCUUUGUACAUACUCGGCCAGUAAUGCCCAUGUAUCAUUAUCCUGUGUGCCAUGGCCCGUCCCGAAGAAUGACUUCCGCAACUUCCAUUGUGACAUUCCGCCAUGACUCCUUCUGUUUGGGAUGGAUGUACACAUUUCAGUAACGGUCCAGUUGGUGAUCGCCUAUAUAGGUCUUCCCCUAUCAUUGCAUACCUUUUGGAUUGCUCCACAAUAGAUCUAGCUUCUGCUUUCUCUUCCGGAAGAGAACCACUUUCUAAGUAGGUUACUAUUGGGUCCAUCCAGCUUGCUCCCAAGCUUUGAAUGAGGUUGACAGUCACUUCCUUCAUCUCUAUCAUCGGCUGAGAUCUCUGCAUGAACGUUAUAGUUUUGGUUGAAUUUUCUUCUGUUGCCGUUGCCAGGUAAGCCAAUGCAUCAGCAUGCCGGUUCUCUCCCCUAAACAGAUGUACAAUCUCCACCUUCGAGAAUUUUGCUACACUUUUCUUCAAUGCAUCCAAGUACUGCAUCAUCUUCCCAGUUUGAGCUCUAUAUGUUCCGUAGAACUGUUCUACCACCAAUUUCGAGUCCGUGAAAACCGUUACCUCAUUUGCCUCCAAUUUCAUCAAUACUUCCAAGGCUUUCAGUACUGCCUCGUAUUCUGUCUCAUUGUUGGUAGCCGGAAAAGCUAAGUUUUCUGCGAUCUCAAUCUUAGUGUCCUCUGGAGUUACCACUACUAUCCCGAUUGCUGAUCUUCCUUUAUUUACUGAUCCAUCUGUGAACACCUUCCAUCCCUUUACAUUCUUCCAGCCGGUAUCCUGAGUUUCUAGAGACUCUAGCUGUUCUUCCUCUUGCAUUUCUGCAUCCUCGGUUACAUCCUCCACUGGGAAAUCUGCCAAGAAAUCCGCCAGCACUUGUGAUUUUUCCGCCUUCUUGGGCUCAUACUGAAUGUGAUAUUUACUUAAUGAAACUGCCCAUUUUUCCAUUCUCCCAGAACGCUCGAUUUUUGGCAUCACUUGAUUGAGAGGGAGGUUUGAAACCACUGUCAGACUAUAAGCUUCAAAAUAAGGUCAAACCUUUGAGCUGCAAAGAGUAAGGCGAGAGCAUACUUUUCAACUCUUGAAUACCUUGUCUCUGGUGAAGUCAUCUUUUUGCUGAGGAAAUAGACCGGGCUCUCCUUUGAGGCCUCUCUUCUAGUCAGGACUGCACUUACUGCAACGUCCGAUACUGCCAGAUAAACAUAGAGUGUCUCCCCUGGUAACGGCUUUGAUAGAACUGGUGGCUUACUCAGGUAUUCUUUCAAUUUCUGGAAAACUUCUUCGCAUUCAUCAUUCCAAGUAAAGGAUAAAUUCUUUUUCAAGAGCUUCAGAAUUGGCUUGCAUUUAUCUGUGGAUCUUGAUAUAAAUCUUCCCAAUGCUGUAAUUCGGCCAGCUAGCACCUGUACUUCUUUCUGUGUCCUUGGUGAUGUCAUAUCUGUGAGUGCCCUGAUCUGCUCCUGACUAACCUCUAUCUCUCUCUUUGUCACAAUGUAACCAAGGAACUUUCCCGACUGUACCCCAAACGUGCACUUCUCUGGAUUGAGCUUCAUGUUAAACUGCCGCAAUGUUUGAAAGGUUUUUUCCAGGUCUCUUAGAUGAUCAUCCGGCUCCUUGGACUUGACCAACAUAUCAUCAAUGUAAACUUCUACUGUCUUCCUCAGCUGAUUUUCGAACAUCAUCUCUACUAGCCUCUGGUAAGUAGCACCUGCAUUCUUCAAACCAAAUGGCAUUUUGGUAUAACAUAACGUUUUCUUACCAGCAUAGAAGGCGGUUUUCUCUUGAUCUGGACCAUAUAGAGGGAUCUGGUUGUAACCGGAAUAGCCAUCCAUGAAUGACAGUAACCCAAAGCCUGCUGUUCUGUCCACUAGCUCGUCUACCCUCGGCAUGACGUAUCUAUCUUUGGGGCAUGCUUUGUUUAAGUUUGUGAAGUCUAUACAGAUCCGAACCUUUCCGUUUUUCUUAGGUACCGCCACUAUGUUAGAUACCCAUUCUGGAUACUGAACUUCUCUUGUUAUUCCCGCUAACUCCAUCUUUUCGAUCUCCUGUUGUACUGCUUCUACCAAUGUAGGUUUCAUAGUUCUCACUUUCUGUGCAACUGGUUUGAAAUUUGGACUGACAUUUAACUUGUGACAUGCUAUAUCUGGAUCGAUUCCUGUCAUAUCAUUCAUAGACCAAGCAAAUACAUCUAUAUUAGCUUUUAAGAAUUGUAAAAGGUCAUGCCUCACCUUCGAAUCCAAGCUUGUUCCCAUGUAGGUGAUCUGUUGACCCCCUACUUCAUUGAGGUUGACGGGUUCCGUUUGUUCUUCUGUCUUUAAAGCUUCACGCGGGAACCCGUCAUCCUCCUUCUGUCGUUGCUAUGCAGGGACAGAUGACGGCCCAGCACCUGCUGUGCCAUGCCUCAUACUUUUUACUGUUGCUAUCUUCAAAUUCUUGGCCAUAGCUUGAUUACUCCUUAUCUCAUAUUGCCCGUCUUCAGUCGGGAAACGGAUUUUCUGAUAGUAACUUGACGGAAUUGCCUUCAUGAGAUGAAUCCACUCUCUCCCCAAGAUUGCAUUGUACUCUGUUGGUGCAUCUAUAACCACAAAUCUUGACAUGACAGUUCUGGUGUGUGCUGUAACCGGUAAGACUAUCUCUCCAACUGGCCGCACUGCUCCCCCAUUGAAUCCGUAAAUGUCUCCAGGCGAAUUUGUCAAGCUGCCUCUUUCUAGUUUCAUUUGGUCCAAGCCCCUGGUAAACAAAACGUCUACUUCACUUCCACAAUCUACUAGCACUUUUGUGACAUUCCAAUUUCCAAUGAGUAUGGAAAUGACCAAUGGGUCAUUGUGUGGCGUAACUACUCCUUUGAGAUCUUCCUCAGAAAACCCAAUCGGAUCACUCUGAUGCACUUGCUUGCCGUUUCGCAUGACUGGUACGGCUCCUACCGUUCGCGGAUCUUCUCUUAUCUGCAUCACUCUUCGUAUCUUCCUCCUGACCUCGUUCAUGGAUUCUCUCGCUCCUUCUAAGAUCAUGUUAACGGUCCCUCUGACCUGAACUUCUGUUCUGUCUUCCUCCCUGUUCUUUUCCACUAUAAACUCUCUUAAAUGGCCCUCCUCCAUCCAUUUCCAGAUCAAGGAUUUGAACUCAUAGCAAUCUCCAGUAGGGUGGUUGUAAGUCUGAUGAUACUCACAGAAUGGCUUUCCCCUGACUGUUUAACAUCUUACCGAUGGCUCCUGGAAGUACUUUCUUCCUCUUAUUCUCUUCAAGAUUUGAUCCAGUGACAUGGUGAGUUGCGGUAGCGGUUUUGGUGGUGUUAGCUUUCUUGGCGAAGUAUCUCUAUCCUCUCUCCUUUCUCUCUUGUCCUAACCUCUCGAUCCAUCUCUGUUUCCCCUUCUGCCAGAAUCUCUUGGUGGUGUAUUACUUCGUGAGCCAACUUCUCCUUUCUUUCUUUUUUCCGCCACUGUGUUUACGGAAGCCAACAACACCUUGGGAGCUCUCCGCAACGCUAUGUCUUCUAGUCUGAUGUAUUUCUCUGUCUUCUGGAAAAGUUCAUCUAGAGUCGCCAUCCGUGAUGACACAAUCGAGUCAUAGGCUGGAGAUUUCUUACUUAUGCCUUUCUGAAAUGCUACCACUGCUGUUCUUUCAUCUACUCCGCCAUCUGUUCUCAAAAUCUCAUUUUUGAAAUUAGUAACAUAUUUUCUAAGAGACUCACCUGGAGCUUGUUCCAAAUCAAACAAUGAUGCUAUAUCUGCAGCCUGCCUCUUCUGAUGAAUAUAGUGCUUCACAAACAUCUCACUUAGCUGAGCGAAGCUUGACACACUCCCUGGUGAUAAACUGAGAUACCAGUCUGUAGCGUUGUCCUUCAAACUGCUAGGGAAUAAUCGACACCACAUCCCGUCAUACUGACUUCCUUCCCAAGCCGCCAUCUUUUGCUUGAAAUUGUUUAAGUGCUGUACAGGGUCAGUUGUUCCAUCAUACUCAUUAAACUUAGGAGGUUGAAACUUACUUGGGAACCCAUGACGGUAGCACACUUCAGCUAAUGGCCUCUUGCCCAAUCUCUCCAGGUCUUGAGUCACUUCUAUGUUCUUUCCCUUAGUCUGCGCCCUCAUGUCCUCUUGGACCUUGCAUAUCAUAUCGAAAAGUCUGGUGUACGGAUCAGCCGCCGGAAUCUCUUCAUCGUUCACUCCUUCCUUUCGAUUUCCUUCGCGAACUCUUACCCUUGAUUCAUCUGACCCUUCUUCUUCAUUCACUCUUAGAUCUGGAAUCCGACGCCUUACUCCUCCUUCCCCUUCUCCUAGUAUUAUUCCCUCCAUAGGUCUCUGAUGGUUUUCAUUUCUGACCGCCUCAUUCUCUCCCUCCUGAAGAUUUUGACGUUCCAUAUCUUCCAUCCUUCUUAGUUGCUCCCUCAAUCUGGAGUUCUCUUCCCUCAGCCUGUUCGUCUCUUCUCUUCCUUCUUGGAGAGUUUGAGGAUGAUCAACUUGAGGAGCUUCUCCCCCAGCUGCACCUCCAAGAUAUGUUGAUGAUCUGGUUUGUGUCACCAUCACUCUCUAUUUGCUUCUUUCAACCUUCUUCUCAAAACCCUAGAUUUGGAAGCAGUAUGCCCUUCUUCUAGCGCCAAAUCUAAGCCCUUUCCUUUAUGAGCUUAGUUGAGUUCCUUACUGCUUCACCGCUACUACCUGCAAUGACCACCGGACAAUGACCGGUGGAUAAAGCUCCAACGAUCAAGUCAGUAAGCGGCUAGGUUUAGAAAAUAGGUUUUAGCAAGGAAUGAACAGUUACCUUUAGCGAACCCUAACGCGAUCCUUUUAUAGCGAUAUUCACCGCCUUCCUUUAACCGUAGGAUCCCCCUAUGCAUCCUAUGGUUCUCUCAUCUCCUACGUGUUUCAUUCUCCAUCACAUACUAUAAGGUGAAUGCUUGACAGCCAGACAUCACGUGCUCUAUCCGUGAUACUCUAGAAUGUUCUGUAUUCUGAUUGGGUACCUCCCGGUUUGCUCUCCUUAUCUGGCUCCUGUGUCCUCAAUGUUCCACCUAGCAUGACUUGGUACUUACACAUAGUUCUUGAAGUUCUGAUGAAUUUAUAUUUCUUAUGAACUGAUUGGUUAUUCACGAUCAAUGCUAAGGUAAUAUUAGCCACUUUGGUGAAAUCUAUGAAGAGCGUGUUUUGCAACUUUCUUGUUGAAAUUAGCGUUUGCAUGUCAAUUGUGUAUGAAAUGAAGAGUGGCUUUUUUGCAAGAAGCUUGAAAAGUAGUUGCUAUUAGGUAACUGGGUGUCAACUGUGGUUCUCUUAUUAAUGCAGGAAUGGUGAUGAUCCAGAUAUUCCGCCAGUUGCAACUGGUUCUCACAUUGAUGCUAUUCCAUACUCCGGUAAAUAUGAUGGUGUUGUUGGUGUUUUGGGUGCUAUAGAAGCUGUAAAUGCGUUGAGAAGGUGAGUGACUUGCCUGAAUGAUUAUACUACAGAUUCUUUAGAUUAAAAAUUAAUCGCAUGCAAGUUUAAUACCUAUAUCUCCAUAUUGUUUCCUCAUAUGCAAUUUGCUAAAUUUGUGUGAGACAUCCCUUGUAUGUUUUUGUGUUUCAGUGGGAUUUGAUAUUGUAUUUUGUAUAUGUAUGUUAGCAUGACAUAAUAGGCGGAGAUCUUAAUUCUGCUGUGUCUUUGUACUUCUUGUAAUGCCAUUUUGUCUGACAGAAAUCCAUUGGCAAUAUUGUGAAAGCUCCAAUUACUGAAUAAAAGAAAUCAAACUAACUCACAAUUUCAAGCGGUUAAGGUUUUCUAUUUUGAAAUGUAAUGGGAGGCUUUUUUCAUCUGACUAUCUGAGAGAUCUAAUUUUCAUUAUCUGUUUGAAAAUAUGUAUGCAGAAUGUCAAUGUUUCAUUAAUAACCACCAUAGGGAGUUCACUAUUACCACUUAUUCAAAUCUGGUUCACAGGUCUGGAUUUAAACCCAAGAGAUCUUUGGAGGUGAUCUUAUUUACAUCAGAGGAGCCUACACGUUUUGGAAUCAGUUGCUUGGGAAGGUCAGAUACUAGACUGCCGUAUUCCUUUGGGUUAUACUCUUAAAUAAGAUCGCAUAGAGUAUAAUAACGCUACUUGCUUAUAUUCAUUAACUCAUGCAUCUAAAGAGAUCUGGAGGUAUUCUCUUCUAAUUAGGUGUAAGACUCUACUUUUUUAUCCCAACUGCAGCCGCUUGUUGGCAGGGAGCGAGCCUCUGGCAGAUGCUCUCAAGGGGUCAGUGGAUGGCCAAAAUGUAUCAUUUUUUUAUGCUGCAAGAUCUGCUGGUUAUGCACACGAUCAGGAUAACUUGUCCAGUGUGUUCCUAAAGAAAGGAAGCUAUUCGGCUUUUCUAGAGUUACACAUAGAGCAAGGUCCCCUUCUUGAAGAAGAAGGUACUUUUCUCUUUGCCAAAAAAACAUUCUUGCUCCCCAUUUAUGUUGCUGUUGCUCAUUAGAAAAUCAAUAUCAGGUACUUCUAUUGGUAUUGUAACUGCCAUUGCUGCACCUGCAAGUAUCAAGGUGGAUUUUGAAGGCAAUGGAGGCCAUGCAGGGGCUGUCUUAAUGCCAUAUAGGUUGCGAAUUCAUCCCAUUGCCCUAAUUCUCUUCUAUCAUUCUCUAAAACUACAGUGUAUAUAUAUUAUAGUUUAUUUUUACUUACAGGGUCUAAUAGCAAUAUAAGACUCAGUAGCCUACUAAGUUUGAGCAAGCACGCUCCGCACCGACAAAUGAAUAAAAAAUUGGUGCAUUUGCUUAUCGUCAGUGAGUAUUUUUAUUAUUGUAAUGUGAGCAGAAAUGAUGCGGGGUUGGCAGCUGCAGAGUUGGCAUUGGCUGUUGAGAAACAUGUAUUAGAAUCGGGAUCAAUUGACACAGUUGGUACUGUAGGUAUGCGCCAUUCUUUAUCUCUUUUAGGUAUUUAAAAUAACUUGUUCUGCAUCAAAUUUCGUGACUAUCAUAUAAUCUGUAGUUUGGUCACUUGUACACUAAGCUAGCCAGUAAUUGUUCUUAUCCAAUCCAGAAAAGUUGCUGUAAAAUAAUGGGCAUUGUUUCAAGAAUUCUCUAAUUUUCUUAUAUGUCAAUCCUAUCUUUGCAAGGAAUUCUGGACCUUCAUCCAGGAGCGAUCAAUAGCAUCCCCAGUAAGGCACACAUAGAAAUUGGUAUGCUUUCUGUCGAUGGUUUUCAAGCUUUUUCCUGGAAUUGUUUUCUUUAAAUAGUAGCUUUGUACCAUAUGUUUUAAAUUGCCCCUCUUCCUCAUUUUAAGUGUGUGAAAUGAGAUUCCAUGCAUGUGUGUUUCUCAAAUAUUCUGGUGUAAAUUUCUUUUAUCAAACACCUUAUGCUUACCUGACAGAUACACGGGACAUUGACGAGAAACGGAGGAACAGCGUAAUAGAAAAAAUUCAUCAUUCUGCAAUUACUAUAGCCAAGACACGUAAGGUCAAGCUGUCAGAAUUUAGAAUUGUCAAUCAAGAUCCUCCUGCAUUGUCAGAUGAAUCAAUAAUUAAGGCAAUGGAAGAUGCAUCAGAAGAACUUAACCUUACUCGCAAAUUGAUGAUCAGCCGGGCCUACCAUGAUUCAUUGUUUAUGGCCAGGUAAUUUGACGUUUUUAACUGUGAUGGUUAAUAGGAUUAUUUCUUGACAUGAUUGUAAGCUCUUGUUAAUCUAAACAUGGGUAAUUUGAUAAACACGAGUAUACUUGAAACCUAGAGCUUUCCAUGAAAAUGCUACAGUGAAACCUCUAUUAAUGAAUAGCCUUAGGACCAAAAAAAUAUACAUCCUAAGCGAGGUUAUUCAUUUUUUGAACACUAAAGUACAAAUGCUUGAACUGGGACCGGAAAAAUUUGUUACUUAAGCGAGGUUAUUCAUUUAUCGAGGUUUUAUUGUAUAUAGAAAAUUUGUAUUCAUUCACUUGCUUUGAAAUGCACAUACUACUGCUAAUUAUGCAUAAGUUCAUCUUGCAGAGUUUCUCCAAUGGGCAUGAUCUUUAUUCCAUGUUACAAAGGUUUGUCCUUCAUUCUACCAUUUGUUGUAUCUCUUGAUCUUUUCCUAUUGCAAUGUUGAAAAGGAAGCAGUUUUCUGCAAGUUACAUUGGUGCUCAAAUCGAGAAUGAAAAUCAGGAAAGAGUAAAAAGGAUUCCCACAGCACAAUAGCAUGUACAUCAUUCCUAUUUUUGACAAUAGCAUAUGCAUCAUAAUGUUCUGACUGUAAUAGACCAAGUUGCAUAAAUCUCACACACACGUCUGGGCAACGUUUUUUUUUCAGCGACUUAAUCAAAUUGUUUUCUUAAAAGUUAAUUUCUUUUCUGUUGGGCUCCCUUUCACCACAUGCUUUGUUUCAAACUGCUGAAUUCAUCACUAAUUGUUUUUUAUUGCACCGCUACCCAAUGAUGGGUUCCCCGAUUCCGGCUUGUAUGCUUAAAAGUUUGUUGUAAAGCCUUACAAUGCCCUGUGAGGCCCACUCCUAGUCGACCAAAUACUGUAAUACCUAUACAUAUGUGGACCUUUCCACUUUUAUCUAAUAGGAUAUGUGUACACGAGUUGAACGUUGCGUUCAAGCAGAAUUGCUGGGGUAGAAUCAAGGAGUCAGAACUGGUAUAUGCGAGCACAGUGAUUUCUGUACCUUUUUUUUAUGUAUGUUGGCAUUUGACUACAUUUUCUUACAGACGCACAACUAUGACUGUUUGUAGCAGCUUUGCUUCAAAAUUCAAGUCUAGGUAUUAAGAUAACUAUGGGCUUUGCAGGUUAUAGCCACAAGCCUGAAGAAUAUGCCUCCAUCGAAAAUAUUGCAGAUGGGGUGAAGGUAUUAGCGCUGACAAUGGCCAAGUUAUCCCAGAAAUGAUGACGUAUCUUGGAUCAGGCCAUGGCUUCCACCUGUCACAUAUUCUGUAAAAGGCCAGGUCUGAUUUACUCUGUACUAAUGUAAAUUUUACAAACGUUGAAAACUUGAAAUGCCACAAUUCUCUUAUAUUUGUGGAUUGUUAUCAUCCUUUUCCACUUAGAUCAAAAUUGUGUUGAUUACAAAUUAGUAUUCACACAUCUCUGUUGAUCAAAAGUGAAACUGUACUGGUAGCGAUACUCACAACUGUAUGAGACAACAGCCACAUCUUGAUGUCAUCGGUGCCUUGCUCUGUUGCACACAUACUGUGUAUUCCUAAACACUUCCAUGCAAGAGCUCUGCUGACUGAUUUUUCCAUCAUGGGUUUUGCACAUUAUGAUUUAGGAGCAAUUGGACACAGAACAAUAGUUUAACUGGAAAAAUAAUAUAGGUUUCUGCCAUUUGUUUAAAGCUGAAUUCUGGACUUCAGGUAGUUGAGAACUUGAAAUGUCCUUGCAUUGCUUAUUUUCUUUUAUUACCUUUGGAAGGUAAUAAUUUUUUUGCCAACCAAAUCAAUUUUAAUCUAAGUUAAUGUUCCUUAAGAAUCUAGCUAAAUAUAUUCUACAAGAAAAAUAUGUUCACUUGUCAAUGUUCCUUGAGAAUCUAGCUAAAUAUAUUCUACAAGAAAAAUAUGUUCACUUGUCGGAAAAUAUCCAUUUUGUAAUAGUCCUAGGAUACAAUUUGUUUUCAUCAAUGUUAAAUGUUAAAGACUUAAAGUGCUUGAUGUAUUGGAUGAGAAAGCAAAGCCAAGGAUCAUGAAAAGCUAGAUACUGCCUCUCUUUAUGUUAAGGAACAUGACCAUGUGAAGUAUGGAGGCUUAAAGAAUAUGGGCCUUUUUCUGGGCUUCUCAAAGUUAAUGGGGGGUGCAUAGAUAAGAUAUCCGUUGAUAUCCGUAAAUAUCUAGCAAUUAUAUCCGGUUUUCUGUGAAUCCGAUAUUCGGAUGGGAGACUCCGAUCACAACAAGUUGAUGAUAAACAAGCAUUUUAUGUCCGCCUCCUCGUAUCUCUAGGUUUUUUGACAUGAUUUCAGCUUACCUAUGGAAAAGACAACAAAAUUAGAAAAGAAUAUGAUCUUGUGUUACACCAAACGACAAGUAGAACCAAAACAAUGGUUAAUGUGAUGAUUAUAGAAGAGACUAAUAUACAAAGCUAUAGACAUGGAUGCAUGAAAAAAGUGGUUAUAUUCCAUUAGAAGCUGUACAUUGUUUACCAACCAGAUUUUUCUAAUAAAAAGCUAUAAACCCUACUUACCAAAGGAAUAUAAAGAAACAUUAAUCUAUGAAGCAGUAGAUGCUGCAACAAAAAUAUGUUCAAAAGAUUUCAAUUCAUGAAUCUAAAUAUCUAAUUGUAUGGUUAGUACAUAAUUAAACAAGUAAUAUAGACAUUCUUGUUAUAUUAUUUUCUAUUUUCGAGACCUGUAAACAAGACUUGGACCCAUGACAUGAAGUUUCUCGACCAUUUCCUCCAUAAACUUUUAAAAAUGUUGGAGAAACUAAAAUCAAACUUAUGCAAAAUGCUUAAAAACAAGUCAUAUACCAAUAUAUACGAUAUAGUCAAGGCUAUGCAAUGGUUUAUGGUUAUCAACUAAUCAUGCUUUAAAUCUUUAGUUCUUAUAAUAAUAAUUAAUUUAAAAUCAAAUUGUCAUUGGAGCAUGAAAAUUGCAACUUUUUUUAUAAUUAAUGGUUACUUAUCUAAAAAUAAAGGGUUUGUCCUGUUGGGUCACAAAAAAAUAAAUAUAUACAAGUGUGACAUACUACUGACAUAGAAGAUUGCCGGCGUUUCAAUUUUUUUAAUGUGCCACUAUCAUGAAAUAUAUUUUAUAUUUAAUGGUAUAAUGCAUUAGUACCCGGAGAUGUUUCAUUGAAAAAUUAUCUAUUUUACUAACAUGUAUGGAUUUAUCAAAGUUUAAUGUAUAGCAAAUUAUAUGACAGAUUUACCAAAAAAUGUUAGGUUGUUCUUAAGCAAUUUUCUGCCCUUUUUUUUUUUCUAGGUAAGGAUCAUGUAUAUUUUCAUGUUAGUAAUGAUUUAAAUGCAGCCAUCAGUUGAAGGGAAUGUGGUGUUUUAAUUUAUUUGAUUUGAUCUGGGACCAUCUGAUGAUCAGAGUUGGGACCAUCAUAUCAGAUAUGCUUCACCUAACACUAUUGAAAACUUAUUACAGUGAAGGCAGCAUAUGCAUCGUGUGUGUUUUGCGGUGUGCCAUCAUGUUCAUUGCCCCACAAUCAUUCUCUUCACGUUUAAGAACCAGCAGCAGAUGUGUAUUCUUACUAACAUAGACCCACUUCGCAACCUUCAUUCCCUUUCUUUGGCCCACAAUCGAGUUCUCUAGCUUUUUUUCUCUCUAGCUAAAUCACCAAGCAAACAGAGAAUUUGAAUUUCAUGUUAUCAGAAUAUUAACAAACUGGCUGCAAGCUUUUGUAUCUCUCAGAAUAACUCCAUUCAAGCUUAUGUAGUUUUAGGUUUAUUGGUUGCACUUUUAUGUGCAACCAUCACAUUGUUAGUAUAUUGAACACGUUUUUGUCGAUUUAACCUUAUGGAUAGCACCUUACUAUAAAUUGGCGCACAUAAAUUAAAGUUAUCCAUGAUUACAACAAUAAUUAAUCGAGUGUACUUAAUUGAGCCAUCGGACAAGUGUUACAUCACAUUCCAGAUGAAGGAGAUUACGGAGUUCCCAUAGCACUGCCUAGAGCAUUUUUGGUCUUGUAAUCAUUUAGUUCUAAGGACCGAUAUAUAUCAAUAUCCUUUCUAAAAACUAAUAAGUUUGGCCCCAAUAACCUUUUGGGUGAUGUUACAAGCAGUGAUGUGGUAUUGUACGUGGUUAAGCAAAGCGAGACAGUGAGCUUACAUGUAUAUCUAGCUAUGUAUUAGCUUAUGUGGCGUGUGAGGCAAUAAGAGUUGAGCUUCCAUUAGAUUGUUUAACGUACACCUUUUAGCUAUUAGGGUUGUAGUGCUUAGUGUGAUCUUCAUAAACAACCAUUCAUGUUGUAUUGUUGUUUAGAAGUCUAGUUAGCUAAAGCAAAAUCAAACUCAGUACGUAUAUAUAUAACUACAUAUAUAUGAUGAUUUAUCAAUAUGUACUACUAUGGUGCCAUCAAUUAUAGUGGAAGGAUAGAGGCUUGUCGACUUGUCGGUGAGGUAAGUCAAAGUGCAAACAUUAGUUGUUCAAAUGUUGAUUAAAAAUGAUCCACGGUUUAGUUUAAAUUAACUUGAUCUUGAUCAGUGUUAAAAUGUUCAAAACACUUUGGCCCCAUUGACUCACAACAAGAUAAUCUGCUUAUCAGUUUCACUUUCUUCAGUCCCACAAAUCUCAUAAAUCUUUUGUUUGGUCUUAGUCGAGUAUAGAAUUUGAAAUUGUCAAGUAUUAAUCGUCAAUUUUGUCGGCUGCACUGUCAAUUCAUUCUUCCCUGGUGUUUACUUCUUUGCCAGUGGUUUUUAUAUAUAUUUACAGAUCAAACUGUGUAACACCGAUAAUGCACGCCAACAAAAUCCCUAGAUUAAUUUAACUAACCUCAAGUGCCAAUUAAAGAUUUAGUAACUCGAUCAAAUGUGGUUAUUCCAAUCAAAUAAUCAGAUCCACUUUAUGGCAGAUGUGUACAUAGAGUUAUUAGUUGUUUCAUUUGAUUACCAUAUCCAUGCUCCAAUCCUCCAACCUCCAACAAUAUAUAUAUAUAUAUCAGCUUUAUGUAUUGGCAUUUCAACAACCAGUAUAGACUAAUAGAAGAGAGUAUACAGAUAGUUCACCAACACAACUACACAAGCAACUCGUGUACAAACCACACAUUAUAUUGUUGGGCUCAUCAUGAAAUAAUGUUUCUAUGUAAGAUUAUUAAUGGUUGCAGAGGUUAUAUAUAUGUAAUAUAAUUUAAAGCCAAGGACCAAGGUAGGACCAUUAGGAAGCUAGAAGGAGAUGACAGUGCUUUAUCACAAGGUUGAAGUGAUAAAAUCAAUGUGGACCUUCUAAUUAAACACUAUAAUUAGUGUUAUGGAUUAGAAGUAGCUCUUCUUCCUCUGUUUAAGCUGAAACACCAACAUCUAUCUAUCACUGAUCACUCCACCUCUUAAGCUAAUUAGGCCUACACGGAUUUGACGAUGGGCCAAUAAAUAAAUAUUCAUCUUUAUUUAAUAAUAAUAGAGAAUUAAAUACGACCUCACGUUUGAAACCAUAUAAGACCUGUUGAUGGUGAUAUUCAAAUUUUUUCGUCAUUCUCUCUUUCUCUUUCUUCUUUCUUCCCACCUUUUCUUUUCAAAGAUAUAAUUGAAAUUUGAAUAACAUGACAAAAAGAUAUCCUUAUCUGCUUUUAGCUAUACCUAAAACGAAUCUUAAUAUAGAAUUUCCUUAGUGCAUGAUUGUGCUAUUAUGUUUAUACACCACCUUUAUAUGGUGGUCAACAACUACUUUUCCCUAACCUCAAAUAUCUAAACACACAACUAAACUACUAAAGUUAAUAAUGCUCUUAAGCAGCUCAAUUCUGUUAAAAGCUACAGAUUUCAAUAUGCUUUCAUAACUCAUCAUCUUAAACUUAUGUCUUCCCUAUUUUCAGAACAUUUUACUCGAUUCUUGCCAAUGAUGCUAUAUAUUAUCAAAAAAUAAUUAAGUUUCAUAUACCAAAUUUAGAACGAUAAACACUAUAUUAUCCACAAAGUUUUAUAGGAUGAUAAUUCCAUAAUAACUUGGUAAUUAUGUUUUUGCCAAUUAACAUGAACUAUGGUAUGGGGGUAAAAUGGUAAAUUGACAAGCAAGUGAUGUUAUGUACUUAUGUCAUAUGUGUCACCUUAAGAGAAACUCCGACAAACAGUAAUAAAAGAAAGUAAUGGUAUCUGAAAUUUGUCAUAAAAGAAGUUACACGCAGAUUCGAACACACGACCACCUGCCGGUAAAACUUUAAAAAGACAUUCUUCCCCGCUUAUAAUUUUCGAAAUUACACCGUUACUUUCUUUCACGAUUUUCGAACAAACACCGUUAAGUAACUAACGCUGUUAGUACCAGACUACACACAACAGUUGUAUAUAAAAACCCCAAAAAACCAGAAACCGAGACAGUUUGAGAGAGAGAGAGAGAGAGAGACGGGUAGCGUUAAAGGUGGGAGGUUAUCUUAACAACGUUUUAGGUGAUUAGAUAAAGGCGAGAAGCUCGAGAUCUUACCAGAUCGGAGAAGAAAUUGUAAGAAUUCUUUCACAUUUUUCUUCAUUUUGAUGUUUUAGUUUUGAUUUAUGUUGAUUGUUGUUGUUGAUAAUGCUUUGAAUGUGAUUCAAUCGGCUUAAAGAUGUGAGUUUGAGAUUUCUGUUUGAAGAUCUGUGUUUGAGUUUGUGAUUUGGUUAAAUUUGCUACAUUUCUAUGAUUUUUGUUCAAAUCGAUUUGAGAAAUGAGGAUCUUUGCACAUUGUUUGAUGUUUUGCUGUUCUGUUGGUUGUAGCUUGCAAAAUUAUUUUGAUCUGUUGAUUGAAGAGUGUUUUCCCUCUUCUGUUUUUUUAUAUGUUGAGGACUUAGGAAGAUGUUUUGCAUGUGUUUUGUUUUAAUCAAUUGCUGUUAGUUGACGAGCAAAAUCUGCAGAUAAAAUCCUUGAUUUGCAAGCAAUAAGAAAAUUAUUCUAAUAAACUGUUUUUGUUAUUUUUUUUUUUUUUGUUCGGGAAUCUAUGUAGCUUUUGCUUAGAACUAAGAUUUUUAAAAUGGAAAGCUAGGAGAAGUUCAUCCAAAGUUCCAAACAAUUAAAAACAUGGAGAAUAUAUGCAUUGUAUGACUUUUGUGAAUUCUCUUUUGCAGUUCUAUGGGAAGAGAAGUUACAGACAUUUGCAUGGACAAAGAACCAGAUCCUGCGGUGAUUUACUCGAAUGGUGCUGCACAUGAUUCUGGAAAUGAGCAUCAUGAGCUAACAGAGACUGGUGAGAAUAUUAAUGGAGAGGUGGAGGAGAAUGGUGAGUUAAAGGACUAUGAAGUUAAAGAGUGCACUACAGAGAGUCCAGUUGAGUCUCCCGAGUCCGUGGUUGAAAAUUGUCAGGAGGAACAAGAUGCUCUCUUUGUUAAAGCCACAGAUACUGAGGCUCCAUUCCAUGAGUGUGGAAAGGUUAAACCUGGAGGCUCAAAAUCAGACAAUAACAAGAAGUCAGGCAAAUCUGCUGCUAUGGGAAAUGGGAGAUCAAACUGCACUGUUCCACAGCCGUUUUCCCUGGCUACUGAAAAGCGUGCUUCAUAUGGAGCUCGUCCUGCUGGGACUGAAACUGCUGUGGUUGGGACAAACAAAGCAACAAAUCUGCAAUCCCCUAAUACUGCAAAGGUAUCCCAGGUAAAUUACAAAUUUUUUCCUUGGCUUUAAAUUCAUAUACGCUGCAUUACCUGUAAUGUAUGUAUUAUGGGCGAAUAAAAUUGUUUAUUUUUGGUAUUGGUGUAUGCUUGCUUCAUUUUUUAUCUUCUUUUGCUCAUUGGAGGUUUGCAUCUAUUAGUCGUGUACUCAUGCAUUUAUUGCCAGACUGAUGUUCAGUUCCAUCAAAUUUCAUACUUAUCUUUGUCACAUGUUGCAGCCAAGAAUAUUUGCUUGAACUUUCUUUCAACAUCUUUUGAUGCUUCCUUUUUGUUAAUACACUACUAACUAUUAUAUCAACUGAAAAAUGGGGGGAGAUUAGUAAUAAAAACAGGUUAGCAAUUUAAACGUGUUGACUGUUGAAUGCACAAUGCUUGACAGAUAAGCCUUUUCACACUCUUCCACUGCUGGGACUAAAACAGAACAAUGUCUUUUGUUUCUUAGUACUCUUCUGGAUCCAUGGUACAAUCAAUUGUUUUGCGUCUUGGUACUUCAUCUGGAUUUCCAGUAGAAGUCUCAAAAGAUGACAACAUGAUAAUUAAACGCUUAUGGAGUAGCACUGUGGCAUAAAACUUCACAAAUAGUUGUUUUUAAUAUUGAAGAUCAUCAUUGAUAAGGGUUUCAAUUAAGUGAUGUACACCAUAUGAAAGCAUUUAGUUUUAUUUGGUGGCAAACUUCCCCCCUUUAAUGGUUCAAUGCCAUUGUAGUCCAGUGGACCUCUCUUGCCCUUGUAAAUUAUGUGUCAUUAUUUAGCUAUGUAGCUUAAUCUUAUAGAUAUAUUGUGCUUACCCGAAUGGGAAAAUAUAGCGUAGAUGAGAAAUUGUUACAAGGACUUGAUGGCUUGUAGGACGAGAGGCCCCACUAUACUACAAAUAUAUGAAAAGGCAACAGAAACACACAAGAAGAAUCACACAAAAGUAUCUACAUCCAAGCAUCUUGUUUAAGAAAAUACUUUAGAUAAUCGACUCUCCAUAGUAGUUGCUUUGUUCUUGGAAGUGUUAUACUGUAUUAGGCCCCAACCAAAGACCCCUCAUGAUAGCAACAGGUACCAGUCUUUCCAGUUUACGCCCUUUGCUAAGGAAUGUUAUUUAGAAGACCAGGAUGCUAAAAGAGCUUUUAAUUGAUCAUAUUUUCAUAUAUUUAAAGUAAGGACUUACUGCCAGGGAUGUGUAUGAAAACAUUGCAGUUCUCUCCCCUCUCCAUACAUUCUAUUUUAUACUGAUUAGAACUUGUGAUUUGUUGCAGGUGCGCUCCUCAGUGGAGUCUAGGAAGCCACUGCAACCUGAUAACAAAAAGCAUCCUGAUGAAGAUGAUACACGCUCUAUUGCUUCCUCGUAUCCUCUUUUUAGUCCUGAAUAUGCAUAAGUUGAUUCCUUAAUUUCAUUUCUUCUUUAAACCAACAUUUAUUGCAUUUGAUUAUCCUUAACCAUGCAUAGAACUACAUCUGUGAAGACUUCAAAAUCCAGGACCACUAUUGCUGCUGCUCCAAAAUUUAGAUGCACAGAGCGUGCUGAUAAGCGGAAGGAGGUACCAGAUUUCUUAACUAAUUAUGUUCACACACAAAAACAAAAUAAAAAUUACUUAAAAAUGUGAUGCAUAAAGCACGAUUUUUUCUGCUGUGUGUUUCUAUAUUUUUGUUUCUCUAAUCACUUGUAUUUUCUUUAGUUCUACUCGAAGUUGGAGGAGAAGCAUCGAGCUUUAGAGGCAGAAAGGACCCAGUGUGAAGCUAGAACUAAGGCAUGUUCUUUUGUUGACACUGAAGAUUGUCACUUUCUUUGCAUGUGUGCUCUGCUGCACACUUAUUAUACGUCUGUUUCGGAUUUAAUAAAAUUAAAAUAUAAUAGUGGUAAUCUCUUCUUCUUUCUUAUAAAUCUUACAUUCUUCAGGAAGAGCGAGAGGCAGCUCUGAAGCAGCUGAGGAAGAGCUUGACAUUCAGAGCAAACCCAAUGCCAACUUUUUACCAAGAGGGGCCUCCACCUAAAGUUGAACUUAAGAAGGUAAAUCCCUACUUCUAGAACCAGCAGAUUAAGAAAAUAUAAGCCUGUGAAUAGUAAUGCAAGAAGAAUGGAUUUGAUUUGUAUAUAGUGUUUCAUUGUACUCUCUGGGUUUUAAACUAGUUGUUUUCUGUUUCCUUUCUCGGGUGUAAUCUCAGUUGCCAACUACUCGUGCAAAAUCACCCAAGUUAGGCCGGAGGAAGAGUUACAGUGAUGCAGUUGACUCUACACAAGGUGACAAUGAAAAAGCAGCCGUUGCUCGAGUGAAUCGUCACAGUUUGGGUAGUAACAGAAAAGACAGUGCAAGUAUUACCAACAAGGAUCAGUUUAAUGGCCGGAAUGGUAAUGCAGCUUUCAAAGCUAAAAAUGAUCCUAAACAAGUGAAGGAGGCCACAAAGCCUGCUUCUCCCAAAAUUGCUGAGCAGAGCGAUGCGGACAUCGCUGUUCACUCUCCUCCUAAAAUAGCUGAGCAAAGCAAUGUGGACAUCACCGUCCAUUCUUAAGGUUUUGGUGAGUAUUUAUUUUCCAAAAAGGAAACAGAGUUUUUUAUUUUUCUUUCUUUGGCCAUGGGAUAUCCAAGCUUAAAAAGUGUAGCAGACUUGUGUUGGUGGUUUGUAAUUGUAUGAUAAAUGAUGUAAAUGUUCUGUAAGUUAUAUCCUUCUAUAUAUAUAAAGAGUUAUAUGCACUUAACCCAAUUAUUCAGCCCCUUUAUAAGCCAAAUACUAUUGUCAGACCCUCGUAUACAAGUUCUCCUUUCAAUGCCAACAAGAAGAAGGUGGUGUGAGUGCAAGCUUGCUAACUGAGCUGCCUUAGUGGUGGUUCUCUUUUCAUGUACUGAUUUCAUUUAUUGUAUUACAUUUGCUUUUGUUGUACAAGUUUGUUGUUAUCUUGUGCAGUUUCCUGCCUUUUGGUAAGAACUAUUUGUGGUAUUCAAUAAUUUCCUACCAGAUGAGACAACACAAGCCAGGUUAUCAACUUAUACUAAUACACUAGUUGUCGUAUGUUGUAAACAAUGGUGUCCUAAAUACUGAUUAGAACCAAGCAUUUCAUGGACACCAGAGUUUAUUUUCUCCUAGGGUUUCUCUCUUCUUUCUCUUUUGUUAGAUUCAAAUCAAACAUAGUUUUCUUCUUCUUCAAUGGCAGAAGAAGUAUAUUCAUCAACAAAGAGUUACUUCUGCCUGUAUCUGUAGCUCUGCUAUCUUGGAACUUAACUGCUAAGCAUUAUACAAAGACAUUAAAGCUUAUGUAUUAGAUCAGAGCAUGACCAUUACAGCUUAGUUGUCUAAUUUUAUUUCUAUUCCCCUAUCAUCUUCAUUCUUGAAGCCAUGGAAGUUACUAUAAUACUCACAAAAGUUAGAAUUUGAAGUUUAUAACAAUUUUCAACAGAAAUACAAUUUGCUGACAGACAAAAUCUUUGCUAUGGAAAUACAGAGGAUAUAACAUAAAGCUAGAAUCAUAAGAUAAAAAUUAUAUUAAGUACAAUACAUGCAGAUGGUGAGCCAACAUUGAACAUUGUAUACUUCUCUAGAUUUUACGCAUACUGGAUUGAUAUGUAGACAGAGUCAUGAAAACUUCCUACUAUAUGUUUAUCAUUCAUCAUAACCACCAAUACUUCUCUUAAACAUAAUGUAUCAUAAAUAAACUACAUGGAUCAAUCAUCAAAGUAACAUAUAUUAUAUUAAUUGAUCUCAAAUAAAAAAAACAGUCUCCGAAAAAAAAUAUAGUGAAACGUGGGGAAAAAAAAGAAACAAAAAUAUAAGUCAAUAGAGGGAGCUAUUGUUGAUCAAAUGUCACCAAAAAAAAAAAAUUCCAACUUGAUCAAAUGUUUACUAGUAGUAUAUCUAUAUUCUCCUUCACAUAAUCAAUUGAUUAGUUAUUAGUUAAUCAAUCUUGGAAGCCAGUUUGUUCCCAAAUUGCAUUUCUCACUCUUCUCAAAUCUCUACCUUUAAGAGUUCUACCUCUUCCUUCAUAAACAGAGAAUGAAGAAGCAAUCUCAAUUCUCUUCAUUUGUCUUGCUAAUAAGUACUCAUGAGGAGGAAUCAUAUACUCAUUACCACCACCACCACCACCACCAUCUUCAUCACCAUCAUCAUCAUCAUCUUCAUCUUCAACAUCUUCAUCACUCUGUCUUCUUCGAUUAUUCUCUUCCUUAAGAAUUUUCGACCAAUCAGGUAUACUUACUGGUAAAGAUUUCGCAACCCCACCACUUAAAACACCUUGAUCUUGAUGAUCCAUCUUCUUCAUUGAUGAUUUCCUUGAAAUUCGCGAAGUAGGUAGUAUUGAUUUCUUUGGAGAAUUUGAUAAAGAAUUAUUCCAAAUAUCAGCUUCAUCAAAUUCAAAAACGGGUUCAACAGAAUUACUACUAAUAAAUUUCUUCUCAUUAGUAAGAAAUCUAUAACUCUUUGCAAAAGACAUUUAAUGGAGAAAAACGUUGCUUUCUUCUAACUUUUUGCUCUGAAAACUCUGUUUCUCUUUCUCUAAAAACGCGUUUUUUUUUUUUUUUGGUUUGCACUUCUCUUUCCGCUUCUCUUUUAUAAAAAACAAAUAGAGAAAUGGAUAAGAUUUUCUCUUUCUUCUGCCAGCUACUUUUUGUCCUAUGUACACGUAUUUUUCGUUUUUAUAUGUAUUUGACUGAAAUACGGUUAGAUACAUUUUAUUUAUGUAUUUUAUUCGCGUUUUAAUGGACCGGUUCGGGCUUUUUCUUGUAUCUACCCAGUUUUAUUUUCUAGAUUCAAUAACCAAUAUUAGCUAAUUUUUUC
This 56971-nucleotide long non-coding RNA is filed under the name Aquilegia coerulea. RNAcentral's name for it is "long non-coding RNA (ACOE_LNC001823)". Lineage: Eukaryota; Viridiplantae; Streptophyta; Magnoliopsida; Ranunculales; Ranunculaceae. The record is from RNAcentral.